GGUUAAAGGUGACAUGAAAGUUAAGACUACUCAAACCUUUGAGUUGACUGAGAUUUUGGAGGACUUAGAUGUUGAAGAAGACGAUGCCCUGUUGGUGACUUUGGUGCCAAAGUCCAAAACUGCUCUUACCAUUGAUAGCAUCAAGAUUGAGGUUGCUGCUUGAUUCACCUGCUAGUACUUUUUUUUUUUUUUUUUUAAUCUCCUCCCUGGGAAAAAAUCUGGCAUUAGAUUUCAUCGAUUGCUUUGAUUUUGACCUAUGCAUGCAUGUUUCAGCACCAUGAAUAAAAUACUUCUGGUGUGCUUGUCACCAGUUAAUAAAAAUAUGUUUCAGCACCUAUCUGACAACGUCCCUUUUGGUUUUUCUUUUUGAAAAGUUUAAUUUACAUUAAAGUUUAAGAUCUUAUGACGCCAUCUAUCUAACUUUCUCCACUCAAAAAAAAAAGGAAAAAAAAAGAAAUAGAAAAAGACAAUUCUUCCUCAAUCAAAAUUAAAUUUUUCUGUGCGUAUCCAGAAGGAAAACAAAAAGUAAUCCUCAAGUACCACGUUUGGCAAAGCUUACAAGUGUUAGCUUCCGAUUCGCCAUUUCAAGUAGUCAGAUAGACUAUACAUUUAAUUUACCAAAAUAUAGGAGAGUAUUUUUUUUUUUUUUUUGAAAAAGAAUAUAGGAGAGGUUACAAAAAGUAAGGGAAUUCUACAAUAAUAAUGAUCCUUGCUUUUUGUGUGUUGAGGAAAGAGGUGAUUUCUUAAAUUUGUGCGAUCCCACUUUUCAUUUCAUAUACCACUUUUGAUUUCAUGUGCAACCUUAUUAAUUUGUGAAGACAGAACUUUAUAUUCUCCUACUUUCACAAUCAAUAGUUCAAUACAUAAGAAUAUCUGCAGCACAUGUGAAAGCUUGAUCAACAACAAAGGAAUUGAUUAGUUUCUAGCUCAAGUUGCCUAAUGAUUCAUAGGAAUGAAAGUUAAAAGGGCUUGACCCCGGCUCCUAUUUUUUAAUGUACAUUUACUUUAUAGGAAUAGGGUAAUAAUAUGCCAACCUACCCAAAGUUUCACGACCACGACAUGGAUCUCCCCUUGAAUUCUUGGAAGUGUAAUUUAGUGUUAAGUGUAUAAUAUGAGCUGUUAUACAUUUUUCUUAGAAUUCUAAGGGCGUUCUUGUUAUAGUGAGCAUCCACUUAAACACUAACAUCUUCCUUGUGUGCAACUGCUUCUUGUAAAACGAUCUAAGCAAGUGUCUUUAAAAUUCUUGGUCCGACUCUUAAGUCCUUGUUUUCUUCAUUUUUCCCUUAUAAUGCUUGAAAUUUUCUUUGAACAAUUAAAAGAAAAGUUGAAUAGGACAGAUAAAGAUUAAUAUAACUUUAUAUAAGUGAAUUCUCUAUUCUUGUAGAUUGAUUACCAUUCGAAAUAUUUGACAAACUUGGCUCUCUCACUCUGCAUUAAAUAGCUAUCGGUCAAAUUUACCAUAUAUUGCAGUCUUGUGGGACCAAGACCGACCAAUAAUUUGAUGCCAUCAAAAAUGCCUGUCGUCAUCAGAAUUUAAUAUGAUAGUAAAUGAGGAUUCUUGAAAAAGGGAAAAACGAGGGAAAAAAAACACACUAAUUAGUAAUUAUUAUGCUUAGCCUUGCAGUUGAAAUCUACAAUGAUAAAAAAAAAAAAAACUAAUUUUUGGUGUGAUGAUUAGCUGGUUUGUAUACUUGCAAAUUAAUUAUGGUGAACAGAAACCUAAUUUCUGUCCAAUGAAUUAUACAUUUGGAAUUUGUAGAAAAUUGAACUAUCUGUACAUCUGUCACUGCCACUAAAAUCAAUUGAAUGGUUGUAGUUUGGCCCUACAUUUGGAAAGAACAAAUAUGAAAAGGAAAUUACCAAAGGAAAAAAGAAUAAACCGACGAAAUUGGAAAAAGGCACAAAACCUCCCAUGUGAUAAAAAGUUCCUCUCUAUCCAAAUAAUAGAUAGGGGUAUUGGUUUUACUUUCUUGUAUUUGGACUUAGACAUAGUACUAGUGGUGGGGUCAUUCAACUCUAUUAAAAGAAAGACACAACACUACUGUGUUCGGCAUAUAACCAGAAGCUGUUGAUUUUCCUCUAUAAAUUUAUAAGGUCCAUCGGUCAUAACAAGAAGGCUAAAUAUAAUAAUAUUCACCAAGAAAUCAUGAUGGGCUUCUAUUAGUCAAUCGAGGGACAGGGCUGUUGAAGACCAAAGAUGCUCAUCACCGGGGAUUGAGAGACCGGAGAAGGAAGAAGUCCAUUUAUUCCAGACAUUGCAACAAACGUUAAGACUAAUUGGUUUUUCUGUCUUCUACCGGUCAUAUACAAACGUGAGGGACUAUUGUAGCUCUAGUUCUCGUGGGUGCUGGCAUGAUGAAGACUUUUCCCCUAUUUUGUGCAGACGAACGUUAGUUGUUUCGACGCUUGAAUAGAGGCGAGCAGGAAAAGUGAGAGUAUGCUAGAUUUCAUUUGAUACGAUAGAUAUUUUCUGUCCGGAAAAGGACCUGAUUUGAUGUUCAAAUGCAUCCAGCAUCCAUGAUGCUACGUUGCUUUGGAUUCGUUUUCACUUGUACGUAGCAGCGUUCCUUUACGUUCCCUUUGAUUUCUAAAGAACAAUCCAUCCAAUCGCUAACUACUCCUCCUCCCAAAUAUCAUCUCAACCUUCUAUUAAUUACUUCUAAUUAUCUAUUUGUAACAGCCAAACCUCUAUGCCAAACCAGAAAUUAUGUACAAUUCUUUCAUGAUUUUUUCCUUCUUCUUUUGCCUUCUGCAUUCGUAGAACCAAAGUAAUUCAUUGUAUCAUGUUCUUGACUCUGAGACUUGAACGUCUACAUCCUUAUAAUCACGUGUACAGACAACGAUACUCUGGUCCCGCAGCCAUUCUGGCCACCCACGAGCUCUUACGGAUAAAAUCCAUCCAACUAGUAAAGGAUAAGGCCAUUACUGAUUUUAGCCCCCUGGCGAUGCAAAUACAAAGACAAAAAACACGUACAACACCUGCAUUCCCGGAUGGAUUUCACUUUCGCGAGAUGCCAACGGCUGAAAAAGGACUAGCGAAGCUAUUCGGUCCAAUUUGCAUUUAAGAGGAGAAAAAGAAGGUGAAAAUUUCGACAAAUGCUUUGGGAUGAUAAAUAAAGAACAAGAUAAGAAGCCCCUCAAGGCUGAAGGCUAUGGACUGCAGAUCUUUUUCCACUUAAUAUUUGACUCGUUCCAUGCAUGGAUGAUGCACCUCUGGAAAUUUUCUAAACAAAGAAAAGAGUAGAGAAGUUACCUUCUUUGCAGUCUCUAAAGGACGAGCCCAUUCAUUGUUCCAAUUAUGUUCUUCAAUGAUUGCCCUACUCCCUUAGAAUUGAGAUUGGUCUGUCACAGCUUAUCAGGGGUCGUUAGUAUAAUGUAGCCAUUUGUAUGCCAUUUGGAUGUGUACUACACAAUCAGCAUGAGGCGCAAAGCAAAAUAUGUCUGUACUGUCAAAUCUGUACUACAUAAAUUUUAUUAGGUAGUAGUACACCACUUUCAUUCCCCCCCCCCCUCCAAAAAAAACCUUAUUUUAAUUUUUUUUUUUUUAAAAUUUUCAGUCACGUUAAGUGAAACUGUUUUAAGUUUUAACCAAGCUCUAACGGAUUUUAUUAGCACAUUUGGAUUGCUAUUUUUUGAGUUUUUUUUUAAAAAUAUAUUAUAACGAUAUGAUAUAUAAGAAGUUACAAAGUAAUCGAGAAAUGCAUUCACAGAAAACAUAAAAACUUUUUUUGAGACCAUCUGUAUCACGGGCCGGUUACGUGCAAUGGAAGACAUACUCUACAUUUUAUCGGUAGCCCAGUUCCAUCUCAUUGGGUCCUUCAUGUUUUUGGAGGUGGGGAGGAAAAAUACAGAACGCAGUUUAUUUGUGACAACUACCGUCUAGCUUCAUGAAGGAAAAAUUUAAAUCAAAUAAUCAGUUUUUAAAUAUGUUUUUUUGAGGUGAAAUUUUGAAGGAACAUUACCGCCCCAACCAAAAAUUUGUUUAUUCGGAGAUAAAUAAAAUUUGCUCUUCUCUUGACAUCUAAGGAAAAUCAAACGAAAAAUCAUUUACCAGCAGUGAUACAAGAAAUAUGACAUUUAUUUAUCUAUUUAUUUAUUUAAUAGAGAAAUAUGAAAUUAUUCAUCAAACAUUUGCAAAUCCAUGAAGAUGGGUACGGUCCAGAGAAGGCUAGCGAGACAUUUUAGAUUAUUUUAAAAUAGGUUGGGCAUUUUCUUUUUGCAUGUCAGCCCUUUUGUGAUGUAGGCUUUCUCUGAGAUCUCGGCCCAAAUAUUUAGUUCUUGGGAUUAAGGUAUACCUUGGGCUUGUUGGUUCACGGGGCCUAACACCAAAUUCCAGAUGGGCAUUACAAUAUUACAUGACACCAAAUGAGACAUUUGGGUGGGAUUGCAUCGCCAUUAGUUUUUUUUUUUUUUUUUGGGUUGAUGAGGAAUUCAAAGAAGAUUAAAUCGUUAUCAGAUGAAACAAAUGCCCGCUCAUCUGCUGGGAAAAUUUCCAAAUGAGAAUACGAACAAAUUAAUCUUGAGUACAAUAAAUAUGCUGUGCUCAUCUGAGCCAAGAAAAUUUGAGAAAGAUAAAUCCAUAUCUAGACUACAAAUGCUGUACUACUAGACAUCUUCUUGAUUUAAUUGCACAUAGAGUUUUAAUAACUAGCUGGUAUCUUGUACGUUGGUAAACAUCUACCUAAAGCGGGUUUGUUAGAAACAAAAAUAUUUCCUAACCUGUUCUUGUAUAUAUGUUGUUAAUAUACGUCUGGGUUGGCACGUACCAACGCUUCACUCUAAUGGUUGGAAGUGUCCGUAAACCCUAUCAUUUGUGCUUUCUGAUCAUUGAUACAUGGAAUGUUGAGAAUUGAAAAGUACAAUAAUGAAAUGAUCGUAUCCAAUGAUCAAGUACCAAUUCCUUGUCCAGAAUGGCAUGGAAAAACUUAUUUGAUACGAAUCCAACCGUGCUUGUAUUCCAACAACAGGAUCUAGACACGUGACUGCAAGGUUUGAUUGCACGAAACCCUAAACCUCCUUAGAAUCCCUUAGAUGAGAACUAAGACUAAUUCUUAAUCCUCAAGAAAAGAUUCAAGGAACUUAUGAUUUUGGUAGAAUGGUGCCACGAACAAUUUUGAUUCUUGUUUGAUAAGCCAAGAAGAAUACAUAGAACCAAUCUAAGAUAUUCAAAGGUUAACCGACGCUAAGAGAAUUACUGUUAAAACUGAAAUUUCUUUAUUGAUGAUUGAAUGAAUAAAACUCGGCCAACCCUUCUUUUUAUAGGGUUCAUGAACCGAAAUCCUAAGUAGCAAUGGAAAACGAUAUUAACUCCAACUAAUUCUAAACCUAACUUACUAAGGAAACUAUCAACCGAAUUUGGAAAGUGCUCUUACGCCCCAAAUGGACAAGGGCUGGUCAACUAAGGCCCACAUGGGCUGCCCAGCCUUAUUCUCAAGCCUAUACUAGACACUUAACUAGAUGAUGAGGCCCAUCAUGCAGUCCGCCCUCUCUCUAGUCAUCCGCGACUUCCUCAUGGAUUUGGAGUAGGCUCACCAUCGUGUGAUUGGACUCUUGAAUCCUUCUUAUGCGUGUAUGAACGAUUUGUAGAAAUGUUUGGAGGUUCUCUCGCAUCUUUCUUGCCCUUGCUAGAGUCAUCGGUCCAACGUUCAUUGAUGGUGCAUUUAGCGCCUCACUCGAGCCAUUUGAAUCAGCACCUUGGAGCCUUGGUGGUCCCUCGUAUCAUUCCCCUCCUCUUGAAAGCAAUUUGUUCGCAAAUUGAAACAUGAAUGAUGACAAAAGGAGUUACAUGCCGUUGAGUCAAUUUUGUUAUGAUUACCACAAGUUUCCUCCAAUGCAAAAACCACUUGCUAAAUUGGAAAGUAACCCUUGUUGAGCCUUGAAUCUUACGAACCAACUUCAAUGUAUGCUCAAUUUGAUCGCCUUUGGCCAUGAGGUAAGGAUCCUCAAAGUGAUGCGGCAUAGGUCCCAUGAAGUCGAAUUGCUCAAAUUUGAAUAAGCCUGCAAAGUAUGCAAACUGAUUUGGUGAAAUUGGACCUCACCACAACUCCUCCUUGGACCGAAGAAGGCUUUGGUAAGUCUCCCACCACAACUCCUCCUUAAAUGGUUCAACCUCAACCUUAGACUUGGAAGAAACUAAUGGGGUCUCUUUUCUCCUUGAAUAGGUUGGCUUUGUAGAGGUAGAUUGCUUAGAACUCCUCUUUUUUACAUCCCUAUUCUCUAUUCGAUCAAGUCGUUUGUGAAGAGGUUCAAAAGUUUCAUCCAAAAUCUACUUGAAUUCUUCCCUUAUUGCAUCUGCAAAAAGUUUAAAUUUGAAAGCUUGAGAGCUUGUUUCUCCCUCGUUAGCCAUGGUGAAGUGAAAACUGUGUAUUUAGCAGUGAAAGGAGAUAAUUUUACCUCACAUACUCCCUCAUGUGUAUGCACUCACACUCGUGUUUUCACACACUAAACUCUCUAAUUAUAAGCUCGCCAAAUAUUCUCAAAACUUUGAUUUCACCCUUGAAGAAGUUAGAUCAAUUCAAAAGUUGUUCAAUGGCCUACCAAGGAAAGAGUCACUUAGCACGUAAAUUGGGGAAUGUAUGUUUAGAGAGUCGAAGCUGAUUUUGGAAGCUCGAUUACUAAGAUGAAUAACUUAACUAAAACUUGACUCGGACUGAUCAACUAGGAGAAUAGACAAUUAGACUCAAUAAUAAAAAAAAAGGACUCAACCGACUCAAAUCAAGCAAGAAAGAUGGCUGUAGUUUUCGGAUCCUAAAAGGACUUACCCGACUUGCACUUGGCUAUUUUUUGAAGGUGUAAGACAAGGCUUCUUGGACCUUUUUGGGUAGGUGUUUCGGCUGAAUGUAGAGGUUUCCUACGUGGCACAAGGUUCCAAUUAGAAUUUGGUAAGCCAAGUGUAACUAGGAUUUGUUUAUAAACCCAAGUCAACUAGGUUUUCAAGUUUCAAUAGGUUUCCUUUAGUUGUAGAAUCGAUUCUGGUUUCCUCUUUGUUCUUGUUAAGUGGCUAAUUGUGCAUAUAAUUGGUACAUAUUAUCCCCUUUGUUUUGCUAAAAUAUGGCGUUAAUCGAUAUAUUUCACUCAUAUUUGAAUUUUGGUACUGUUUGUAGGAGUUGUUAGUGAGAAUGAAGUAAAAGGCGCGUUAAAAGUCGACUUUCCAGAAGACGUCUUGUAAAGCGUGCCCACGCCUUAUCAAACUCGAAGUGGUGCUUCUAAAGGUCCAUGUCCAAAAGAGCUUUCGUUAUAAAGCGUGCCCACGCCUUAUUUGGCAAAGCAGUCAAAAGUUCGCAAGACACAAGAUAAAUCUGUCAAUUGGUCAAGGAGCCGGUUGCAUCCCAUGGGCUGACACAUUAGCCACGGAUUGAAGACCUUGAGGGGCCAUGAUUCGAUGUAAUUAUUUUGGAAAUUCAAUUAAAAGGUCUUAGUUGGAUAGUUUAGGGGAACUAGGAGUCUUAAAAGGAAAGAGGAGCCUAUCCCCUAUUAAUAGGGGAGAAAACAGACGUGGGCUGGAAUUCAUCAUCUAUCUAAAACCCUUUUAUUCUCUCGUUGGUUUUAUCUUUGAAGGGAACGAGCCGUCAUCUUUAGAUUUCUCGAGAGGAAUGAAAUUACUAUGAAAACUUUGAAUGGCUUUGUUGUCAUGACUAUGCGGCAAGGCUAGAUCAUUUAUCUAGUUGAGGAAUAAAUCAAGGAUCGGGGUACCAUAACUGUGAGAUCGUUUUAAUUGUUCAUUUUUAAUUUGUAUGUUCAUGGGUAUUUGAUUAGUCUCUAUUUUUUCCUGAGUUAUUAUUGUUUAGAUUUUUUGGAUAAUUAGACCUGUUAUUCGAUUGUCUAAAUAAUUGAUAGCCAAUUAGGAUGUUGGCGCGUUGCCUUUAAGCAUCUUGAUUAGUGGCAAACGAGACAAUUUCACCGUCACGCAAGCGAUCUAAUUUGGAUCGUGGAAAUAAUUAAUCUAGCCUAAAUAAACCCGCAUUUGUGUUUGUUAUCUAGAAUUGGGUCUUUCUAAUUCCUAAUGCUGUGGCUACAUUAAAUCCUGUGAGCGUUUCUGGGGUUGUCUAAUCACAAGAGGGUAGUUUAUGAGCGUCUCUUGACUACCAUAAAAUUAAGGAAAGAUUGGUGGUUGGGCGCGUCGCUUGACCACUAUAACCAAUUUAUUCGUGAGUAUAUGAAUUGUCCCUUGUAUCUGUGAUCAGUUGUGUGCUUCGGUGCCAAGAUUAAUUCCUUGACUAGGUUGUUUUAGUUAAUUGUUAUUUGUGUAAUUUGGUUCCUGCUAUCUUACUCAACUUUGAAUUUCCGUUUUUACUCCUUUUUUAAUUAGUUGGUACUAUUGCUAAAAAUUCCCCCCCAUCUUCCUGUGUGAUUUGCCUAUCAGUUCCCUGAGGAGACGACCCUACUUGCCCUGUUUACAAAUUAAAUUUGAGAUUGUGUUGGUUGGCAAUUAGGCUGUUAUUUUUAACUUUAUUUUUGGAGGUUUGACACCCACCAGUUCUUUCUUGUGUUUCUUUUUUUUUUCUUCCUUUUGUAGUAUAGAACGUAACCAGAUUGCUUCUUUUCUUUCUUCCAAUUCGAACACAACUCAAAGCAAAAGCUCGGCUAUGUCUUGUGAGCAAGAGCAGCUGCUACUUCAAGAUUCAAGAACUAAAUUAAUUGAUUUCAAGAAAUUCAAGAAUCACCUACGAUUUUCAAGAUUUGCAUCCAAGAUCUUUUGGCAAUUCAAGAUUUGAAUCAAGACUUUCAAAAACAAGGUAAAACAGUCUUAUUGUAGUGCAAGACACAAAAAUUUUCCCACCCUAUUAUUCAAGAACCCUAAUCGCUUCAAAGAAAGUAGCGAUCAGAUUUGUUGUUGUAGUUUCAUUUUUUUUACGUCAACAAUUUUAAGACUCAAGAACAAAACAAUCAAGACGCAAAUAAGAACAACAAAACGAGAUAGAUUGGCAACUAAACUAAAAAAAAAAUUUUUACUAGUGAACACUGACUCCAGAUGAACAGUAGCGAUGAACAGUAACGAUGAACAGUAAUUUUUUUUUCUUUCAGAUUCACGAAUGACACAAAGAAAUACUAUGAACAAUAAGGAUAUAAUCUGAAAGUUGUCAACUAGCUCUGAUUACCGGAUGUGAUACACACUUGAACACGAUCUAGAUAAUAACAUUGACGGUUUGACACCGGAGAAUUUGAUCCAAUCUAAUUCUCAAAAUAGCGAACAAUAUUGAUACUAUCUCAACUCGUAACUUAACGAAUUAGCGAAUCAAAUUAUAGAUAGUAGAACGCCACAACCAAGGAGUUACUUGAUUGAUAAGUUCGGAAUGAAUAACUUGAGAAAGACUCUCAAUUAUUCAAAUGAGCUCUCUUGGAAAGAGAAAAGUGAAUAACUCACGAAAUUUUAUUGAUAAAAAAUUGAUUAUGAAGGUCCCUAACUUCGCCUAUAUAUAGCCAUACAAACUAGAAAGUCUAAAGUAAAUUGGAUUCACUUAAAUUAGAAAUCCUAAAGUGAAUUGAAUUCACUUAUUUACUAAACUAAUUAAUUCGGCUAACCAAGACAAAAUCUGGCCGAAUUUUAAUCUCUACUAAAUGACUCAAUUUGGCAAGGUAAAUGACAAACAAACCCUUGCUUAACACCACCAAAUAAAUGACACCACUUGGACUAAUUAGUUAACUAAAUUGAUUUGCUUGGACAAUCUUCAUGUUCUCAUCAUUCCCCUCCUCUUGAAAGUAAUUUUUCCACAAAUUGAAACACAGAUAGUGACAAGUAGGGGUGGCAAUUCGGGUCCAAAUCAAGUUGGCCGUGACCCGACCCGCCAACCCGUGACGGGUCAGGUAUACUGACUCAAACUCGAAAAUUUCAGGUUGACGGGUUGGCGGGUCGACCCGAAAUGACUCCAAACUUAAUUUUAAUUUAUUAAUUUAUCACUGUAAUUUCUAAUAAAAUUAAUUUCUCACAAAACUAAUUACAUAAUCAAGUAAUAAAAAUUUAAAUAAAUAAUUCCAAACCAAAUCUAAAAUAAAUUAAACACCGUAAAAGUGUGUUAUCCAAAACAAAAUAUAAAAUAAAUUAAAACAGUAUAAAAGUAAAAAAUAAUAUAAUAUAUUAUUUGUCCAAAUAUAAUAAUUUCAACUUCACACAAAUUAAAUAAAUUCAUUUAGGAUUAAGUAAUUAAUGCCUUUGAAAAAAAAGAAUAACUUAAUUUAGUUAGAUAAAAUUAUUUUUAUGUUUAUUAAAUUAUUUUUAAUUCGUAAACGGGUCAUAUCAGGUCACCACGGGUUGACUCGAAAUCGACAUGUUUUCUUUUCGGGUUCAUCGGGUUCAACACGAUUCUGACCCGAAUUCCCGAAACUUAAACCCAAAUCCAUUAAUUUUGUGUUAGAUUCGUGUCGUGUUUUCAAGUCGUGUCGAAAAUUGCCACCUCUAGUGACAAGAAAAGUUACAUGCCUUUAGUCAAUCUCGUUAGGAUGACUACAAAUGUCAUCCAAUGCAAAAAUCACUUGCUAAAUUGGAAAAUACUCCUUGUUGACCCUUGAAUCUCACGAAUCAGUUUCAAUGUAUGCUGAACUUGAUUGCUUCUGGUCAUGAGGUAAGGGUCCUCAAAAUGGUGUGAUAUGUAUCCCAUGAAAUCCAACUCAUGCUUGAAUACACUUGCAAGACUCCAAGGCAGCUUUAUUGGAGUUGGAUCUUCAUGUGGACUAAGGGCAAGAUGACAAUUGUAGUGGCAAUGAUCAUUAAGGAAUUCAUUCUUUGAACGAACCCUUGGUACAUAUCCAUCCCCAAAAUUUGGAAUGUUCCCUUCAAUAUGAGCUCGAAUUAACUCUCCAUUGGUGUGGACAGAUUUGAAUUGACAUUGUUCCAUGAAUUGAUGUCAAAGGGACUUAACUCUUGAAAGACAAACUCCAUGGAAACUUACAAGGUGUACAAUUGACUUUGGAAUGGAAUACACCAAGAUUACCUCAACUUGACUUUACUUGAUCUGUAUAAAAGAAGAAACACUAAACAAAACAAAGGUAAGUUCGUUAGGAAAAUAAUAGACCAUCAUAUUUUUGCUCAAAAUCAACUAACUUUCUCUCUUUUCUUUUUUUUUUACCACUCAUCUCAUCAGAUUUUUCCAUCUGCUUUUCUAGCUCAAUAGCUGACUUUUUCCUCUCAUUAUUCUCAACCUCUUUUUCCUUUUCAACUCCCUUGAAUUGUAUCUCAUCAGUCACAAUUCCCUCAUCUACCUUUUUCUUCAUACUAUAACACUUAUGCUCACUUUUCAUGUAUGUUAGAUCAAUACCAAGUUGGUCAUAAAUAAGUGAUACAAGUGCAGAAUGACGACCAUUAAAUAAGAAGGAAUACUUAUUAGUAUAUCCAUCAUAUUUAACUUCUCGCCUCAACAUCCAUGCUUUACCCAACAAUACAUGUGUCACUUGAAUUGGGACUACAUCACACAAUACCUCAUCCACAUACUUGCCAAUUUGAUUAGGUAUAAGUGUGUGCUUAGUAACCCAAACAUCACCAUGAGCACUCGACAACUUAUACGGUUGAAGAUGAUCAAUGGUUGAAAAAUUUAAUUUGUUAACCAUGAUAGCGCUUGCAAGAUUGACUUUGCAACUCCUAUCAAUGGCCAAGCUGCCGGUUUUAUCUUUGACAUCACAACGAGGAUAAAACCAACCAUGCAACUUAAAUUUUACAAUGUCCAACUGCUCAUCUAUACCACGUAAUGCCACUUCUUUAAUUCCCUUAGGAUCAGGAAGAAGAUGUUGUAAACUAGCUUUUAAAUGCCUCGUAUUCGCCAUGAUGUAUGAAAAAACCUAUAAAAAAAUUAGUGAAACAAAAGAUAUUUUUCUCACCACACAAUCUCACGUGUUUACACUCGUCACUUGUGUAUCACUCAAGUGUUUAAAACACUCUAAUACUCUCACUAAUCACUUCUCAAGUCACUUGACUGCUUCUCUUGAAGAAAUCAGAAUUUUUUUUCAAGAAAUUCAACCAAACUUCACUCAAGUUUUACCCAAAAUGUGGCGUAUAAUUGCUGAAAUUUUAGGGUUGAAUAGGGACUCAAAAAGGCAGCAAAACAUGAGCAAAACAUGCUGAAAUUUUCAAAUUUUAGUCCACAAAAAAGGUGUCCUAAGUGUUGGAAGUGUUUGACUUUGACAAGUACUCACUUUGGGAACUAACACCAAUUAAAUCCUAAACUGAUUUGGACUUGUUGUGGUAUAUUUAGACACGAAUUUAGACCUGAAAAAUACUAAAAAAUGAUGCUAUUCACUAUGGGACAGUUUGUAAACUACGACUCAACAAGGCAAAAAUUUGGCAGAAUUUUAGAAAACCUAGAUGAAACUCUACCCGAUUUGCACUAGGCUGGAUUUUUGGAAGUUGUAAGCAAGGUGUAAUGGGUUGUUUUUGGAUGGUUUAGUGGCUGAUUUUCUGGUUCUUCACGACUCCAAAGGUGACCAAUCAGAAUUUGGUAAUUUGAGUGCAACUAGGGUUUGUUUUGCAAACCCAAAUCAACUUGAUUUCCAAAUUCAAGUUGGUUUCCUUUUUGUUUUCUCCUUGUAAUUCGAUUUUGUUUCCUCUUUUUUUUUUUUCUUGCGUUUUCUUUCUUUCUUUCUUUCUUUUUGUAACGUAAUCAGCUUUUUUUUUCUUCAAUUCGGAUCACAACAAGAAACAAGAAUCUCGUUUGGAUAUUUGCACAAGAUCAGUCCAAUUCAAGAAACAAGAAUUAAAUUUUGAUUUGUUCUAGAUUUGUUUAAUCUUGGUUUCAAGAAUUUCAAGAACCAAACCACUACUUCAAGAUAGAUGUCAAGAAUUCCAACCGUGCUUGGCGAACUCGUAUUCCAAUAACAAGAUCUAGACACGUGACUUCAAUAUUUGAUUGCGCGUAACCCUAAACCCCCUUAGAAUUUCUUAGAUGAGAACUAAGACUAAUUCUUAACCCUAAAAAAAAGAUUAAAGGAACUUAUGGUUUUGGUAGAAUGGCGCUACGAAUAAGUGUGAUUCUUGUUUGAUAAGCCAAGAAGAACACUUAGAACCAAUCUAAGAUAUUUAAAGGUUAACCGACGCUAAGAGAAUUACUCUUAAAACUGAAAUUUCUUUAUUGAUGAUUGAAUGAAUAAAACUUGACCAAGCCUUCUUUUUAUAGGUUUCAUAAACAGAAAUCCUAAGUAGCAAUGGAAAACAAUAUUAACUCCAACUAAUUCUAAACCUAACUUACUAAGGAAACUGUCAACCGAAUUUGGAAAGUGCUCUAACGCCCCAAAUGGACAAGGGCUAGUCAGCUAAGGCCCACAUGGGCUGUCCAACCUUAUUCUCAAGCCUACACUAGACACUUUACUCGAUGAUGAAGCCCAUCAUGCAGUCCACCCUCUCUCUAGUCAUCCGUGGCUUCCUCAUGGACUUGGAGUAGGCUCACCAUUGUGUGAUUAGACUCUUGAAUCCUCCCUAUGCGUGUAUGAACGAUUUGUAGAAAUGUUUGGAGGUUUUCUCGCAUCUUCUUUACCCUUGCUCGAGUCAUCGGUCUAGGGUUCAUUGAUGGGUGCAUUUAGCGCCUCACUCGAGCCAUUUGAAUCAGCACCUUGGAGCCUUGGUGGUCCCUCGUAUCAUUAUUGCAUAUGAAAUGGGGCAACAUAUAUAUUUGGUGAACCAUAUCCAGUCUCACAAAUUAAUCUUGAGUACAAUAAAUAUGCUGUGCUCCAAGAAUUAGACUAGAGAUGGAUCUUCUGUGGUGUAACCGGGCAAUGACCGACCAACCAGUAGGCUAUGUAUAUUGUUGUUGGAGUAGUUAGAUUCACAUUUGAGCUUUCACAUGCGAUGUUUCCCUCAAAACAUUAACUAAUCCAGCUACCUAUCUCGGAUUCACAUUUAAUGUCACAAUUUAUUGUUCUUAAAUAUUUUUCUUUAUUGUGAAUAUAGGCAAUGUCACAGUCUUACCUCUGGACAACACACACAGUCCCGUGACUUUUUACUAAUUGAUAUUUAGGACCACAAUUCAAUGUUAUCAUGAUUUUUCAAUAACUAUUAAAUGAGAUUUUUUAUGAAUUUUUUGCUGUCUUUUUUAAUUUUCUAUUAUAUAUUACUUUUUUGAAACUGUUGUAUUUAUUUUUUACUCAAUUAAUAGUUAUUGAAGUUGCUGUAUUUAUUUUAUAAUAUUUUAAGUUUGUUAAAUUUUGUAUAUUACUCAAUUAAUAGUUAUUGGAUCUUUAAAAAAUAAAAAAGAACUAAAAUAUAAUGUUUAUGUAGGAGAAAUAGCAAUAUAAUAAAAAGUGGGACAGGGAGUGGCACAGGGUGUGGGACAGAAGAUCCGUUGCGCCCCUCGCAACGGAUCUUCUGUCCCACACCCUGUGCCACUCUCUGUCCCACUUUUUAUUAUAUUGCUAUUUCUCAUUCAUAAACAUCAUGUUUUAGUUCUUUUUUGCUUCCUUAUGAUUCAAUAACUAUUAAUUGAGUAAUACACAAAAUUUAACAAACUCAAAAAAUCAAAUUUUUUUAACUAGCCUCUGCAUGGGUCGGUCCUUUUUUUUUUUCCUCGCAACGAUAUAACAUAUUCUAUUCUAAUUUAGGGGGAGGAGGAGUCUAAGGAGGCUUGUGUCAAGGGCCAGUAGAUAUACAAAUCCAACUAGACCAAAAAAGUGUUAUGACACAACCCUUAGAACUUUUUUUUUUUUUACAGAUAAAAUUUGAAUCCUCACCUACAACCCAAGAAAAGAUUUAAAUCCCUUCCUGAUGGCCACUGAGCUAGACUCAGUGGUUAAUUGGCCAGGUCACUUGCGUUCUUUUAUACAAGGUUUAAUCGAUGUUUGCGUGAAAUUUUGUAACAGACCAUAUACGAUUCUUAUCUAAGGCCGUGAAGUAAGAACAAUUGCACCCAAAAAAGUGAUGUAAGAGUGAUCCAUGAAAAUUUCAUUUUACCAUAAAGAAAGAUCAGCAAUGCUGCCAAAGAUUGAAAAAUCUGGGUGCACAGUAUCGUAUUAGAGUGUAAGUUAAAAUUAGCAUCUGUACUCCUUACCCUUGUCUAGGCAUAUUAGAGUGUAAGUUAAAAUUUGAUAUUAGUAUUCUAUUAUGUCCAAAACACCUUUCUCUCUAAUUAUUAAUUAUUAGAUUUAUUGUAUUCUAAUAGUAGUCAAUAAUUGUAGCAGUUAGAAUUAGAAUCAUGAUAAAUAAAAUAAAACGAUCCAACCUGUCAUGUCUUUUUGCAUUCCAUCUUCCAUUUUUAUUUCAAUCUAGAAUUUUUAUUAAUCACAAUCUAAUUCAAUUUCUAAACCGUCAAAAUUAUUGCUAUUGAUACCAAAUCAAAAUGCUUUUUUUCCAAUGGAGUCGUUGUCAUUAGUGCUUUACAUUAGGUCUGCUUAAAAUAAUAAAAAAUAAAAUAACAUAAAAUAACAUAAAAAAGUAAAAAAAAAACUCAAUUAUCUCUACCAAUGAAAUUUUAGUUAUAAAAAAUGAAUAGUUGGAUAGGAAAAAAAUAUUUAUAGGCGGUGGAUCAUCAACACUCUAGUGUUAAAUGAAAUAACACACAAAAGAAUAUAAAGAAUCCAAUUUCAAAGAAUAUACAUUUCUUCACCCAUAAAAUGAUCUCCACCUCUACUUUUAUCCAUCAUGUGCUCCAAUCUAUUCUAGAUGAAUUACAGUAAUGUGAAUUAUAACAAAAAACAGAGAACAAAAAUUAAUGCCUACAUUAAAAAUUAGUAGUAUUUUAAUUGAAACAGCACUAAUGAUCAUUAACAUCUAACUAAAACAGCAAUAUCAAUCAUUUCACCUAUCAUUAAUACCAAAAAAAACUGAAAAAAUAACUAAAAUGGAAGAUAAAAUCAGCACAUGAGACGUGCGAGAACAGUGAACUAAAAAAAAGAAAAAUUUUGCUUAAAUAACAUCAAAGAGAACAUUCACAUCAGUGAAAAAGCAUACAUAAAGACAAUAAUAUAAUACUUGGAAACCAUAAAAAAAGAAAUUACAUCUUAGAUAUUCAGCAUUUUAGAAAUCUUAUAUUUCAAAAAAUAUAUACAUGCGGUGAUAAUAAGUACGUCUUAGAGUUUACCAAAACAUUUUGCCGAAUUUCCCAAAAUUAACUACCGAGUCGUAUGUUAUUGUAUUGAGUAAAAUCCUGUUGGGACUGACAAAAGUUGGUGCGCAAACUUACUUCCCUAACAUUUGAGCACUAUUUUUCCCCCACAAGAACGAGUAGCGUAUUAAGGUUUUCUCCUAGUCUCGUUUUAUCUCAUUUUUAUUUAUCUCUAUAGUUACUACAAAACUACGGACAAUCCGAAUUCAGGAAGCCAGAUUGGCCUUGUUUGGACUUCACAUGCUAUGCUUAAUUGCUAUUAAUUAGAUGAUGAUAUCUUUGUCAUUUGAUCAAACAGAUCCUUUACUGUAGGACGAAUACAUUUCUUUUAUGUCACCCUCUGACAUUUAAUCCACAAUUAGAAGUUUUGUUUCUUUCCACAAUUAGUGUUCUUGAUAAACUGUCAUUGAUUUAAAAUUUUUUUACAAUUUUGGGGCAUGUCAAGCUCAAAUAAGAGGAUCCUUGUGCACAUUGGAAUAGGAUCAUUUUCAUUUCUUUCCUUUCAGUGUAUAAUUCUUCAAACAAAUCAAAUCUCUCAGAUCAUUCGUUUCAGCUCGAACGGAUUGAAAGCUUUCAAGGGCGGCUGGGAGGAUUUGCUGUAAAUGCCAUUCCUCCAUGUACGUCCUUAUGCGGUAAAUGACUAUGACAUCGAUGAUAGCCCUCAACACACAUGACAGAGUCAGUCCAAGGACGAGGCUUCAUGGUUCAUUAUCAACAGUUAUGUAUCCGAAAAUUUACGUUCUCCUCCUCCAUAAUCUGUACAAGGUUCCCAGAAAGGGGGGGUGGGAAAAGGUAAUGAAUUUAGAUCCCAUGCAGAAACUGUUGGGGAAAUCGGGUAAUUUCCCACUCAAAAAUACAACUAAUGAUUAAACCGAUUCAGUAAUUCUCAGGAAAGAUCGUCGAAACAAUCUCCUUAGACAGAAUUACCAUUCCAAGUAAAUUCCCAGGAAAGGCUGGAGGGGUCACAAGCGGUCCCACUUAAAACCCAGUCUCCUAGACAGAACUUACGUGCACGGUGUAUUAUCACAACUAUACCCGUGUAUACAUAAAUAAUACGUAAACACGAAUAAGAAAAUACACCCAAAAGAAUCGUAUAAUACACUACAAAUAAACCCGACAAAUAUAUUGAAUACUAUACUAUAAUUGAAAAGAAACUGUUAAAUAAAUGCGGAACAAAAUAAAAGAGAUAAGGAAAGAACGCACCCGAAAAUUGAUAACGGAGUUCGGCCAAUUUUGCCUACUCUCCGAGCACCACUCAAGCAGCCCGCUUUUAUAAAUUUUGGGAGAAGAAAGACUUACAAAAGAAUUACAAAAUCCUUUUUGGUGUAAUUCUUUUGUUUUCUUUUUCUUUUUGGUGCAUCUCAAUUGGGAAGCUUGAGAGCUAAUUUAUAGCUCUCAAGCAACCUCUCAAAUGCUAAGUUAUCCGAUGUGGGAUUUGUAAAUUUUGCCAAAAAUCAACAAUAUUGGCUUGAGAUAGUCAAUAAUGUUGGCUUUGAAUUCAAAUGUUGCCUUUGAAUUCAACAAAUCUCCACCUUGGCAUAAUUUCUAGUCCCACCAAAAAAUACAAACCUUCUCACCCAAACGGUCCUUGCGAUGCUUCCAAAUUUGCGCCGUUAGGCGCCAACUCAAAUAUGCAGGAUAUUGACCAAGUCUAAACAAUGUUCAAACUUGGACCUUGUAACCACCUUGGUCAGCAUAUCUGCAGGAUUCUCCGUAGUCCGAAUCUUCUGAAGAAAAAUCUCCUCUUCUUCGAGAAUUUCCCGCACAAAGUGAUAGCGAACAUCAAUGUGCUUCGUUCUUGCGUGCAAGACUUGGUUCUUUGCUAAGUGAAUAGCACUCUGACUGUCACAAAACACAUCAAUGUGUUUUUGACCAACUCCCAAGUUUUCAAGCAAUCCUUGAAGCCAAAUUGCCUCCUUCACAGCUUCUGUAAUCGCCAUGUACUCUGCCUCCGUUGUUGACAAAGCCACCGUUGACUGCAAAGUAAACUUCCAACUGACUGGCGCCUUGGCAAAUGUGAACAAGUAGCCAGUUGUAGAACGUCGCUUAUCCAAAUCACCUGCAUAGUCAGAAUCACAAUAUCCAACUAUACAUUGACCAAGUGAUUUAUCCUGCUCAAAUACUAAUCCAACAUCUACGGUAUUUUGGAUAUACCGUAGAAUCCAUUUCACAGCUUGCCAAUGACCCUUGCCUGGAUCAUGCAUAAACCUGCUUACCACACUAACUGCCUGUGAAAUGUCGGGUCUCGUACAUACCAUUGCAUACAUCAAGCUACCAACUGCAUUAGCAUACGGGACUUUCGCCAUGUAUGCUCGCUCUUCAUCCGUCUUUGGAGAUAAUAGGCUACUAAGUUUCAAAUGAGGAGCAAGCGGAGUACUUACAGGUUUUGAAUCUUCAUUCAUGCCAAAACGUUGUAGUACCUUCUUCAAAUACUGCUUCUGUGUCAGACAAAGCUUGCCUCUCGUUUUAUCCCUACUUAUCUCCAUGCCGAGAAUCUUCUUGGCUUCUCCCAAAUCUUUCAUCUCGAACUCUUUACUCAACUGAACCUUCAAUUUGUCAAUUUCAACUUGGCUCUUUGAUGCUAUCAGCAUAUCAUCAACGUACAAGAGUAAGUAGAUGUAGGAAUCAUCUUGUAGCUUGCCCAAAUACACACAGUGAUCAUAUUUGCUUUUUGUGUACUUCUGACCCAUCAUGAACUGGUCAAAUCGUUUGUACCAUUGCCUCGGUGAUUGUUUCAAUCCGUACAACGAUUUGCUCAGUUUACAAACCCAAUUUUCUUUACCAGCAACUUUGAAUCCAUCUGGUUGAGACAUAUAGAUUUCCUCCUUCAAGUCACCGUGAAGGAAUGCGGUCUUCACAUCAAGUUGAGCUAGCUCCAAAUUCAACUGCACUACCAAGGCCAACAAAAUUCUAAUCGAGGAAUAUUUAACAACUGGAGAAAAUACCUCAUUAUAAUCAACUCCCUCCUUCUGAGCGUAGCCUUUAGCCACCAAUCUUGCCUUGUAGCGAACAUCAAUCUUGUCAGGAAAUCCUUCUUUCUUUGCGAAUAUUCAUUUGCAUCCAAUUACCUUCUUGCCCUUCGAUAGUUGUGUCAACUUCCACGUCUUGUUCUUCUGAAGAGAUUGCAUCUCUUCUUCCAUAGCAUCUUUCCAUCUAUCAUUUUCUGUAUUUUGAACUGCUUCAGAAAAUGUGGAUGGAACAUCAUCAAUAACUGGAAGUGCAUAAGCCACCAUGUCAACAAAACGAGCAGGUUUAUGAAUUUCUCGUCUUGCCCUAUUGACGGCAAUUGACUCUUGCUGCUGUUGAGGUUCUUGGGUUGAAACCUCUUCCUCAUCUGACUCCUCUUCUGUCAUGGGAGAGUCACUGAUGGUGCUGUUUGCUAGACUCACCACUAUUUGCUCAAACUCCACCUGUUUCGGCGUACACUCCACCUGUUGCGGAGUACCACUGGUUCCAUCUUGUGUUACCUUAUUCAACAUGGCAGAUUCAUCAAAGGUAACAUCCCUGCUGAUAAUGGUUUUCUUUGCUUCUAGACACCACAACCGGUAUCCCUUAACUCCAGCACUAAAGCCCAUAAAGAGAGCCUUCUUUGCACGUGGAUCCAAUUUUGAUUCAUUUACAUGAUAAUAUGCAGUAGAACCAAAAAUACGCAAAGAAUCAUAAUCUAUUGCAAGUUUUCCAGACCAUACCUCUAAUGGAGUCUUGCCACCGAUUGCAGUUGAUGGCAAGCGAUUGACGAGAUGUUGAGUGUAUGUCACAGCCUUAGCCCAAAACUUUCUGCCUAACCCAGCAUUAGACAGCAUGCAACGUACUUUCUCUACUAGUGUCUUGUUCAUACGUUCUGACACCCCAUUCUGCUGCGGUGUUUUUCUAACUGUGAAGUGCCGAACUAUGCCACAUUCUUGGCAUAUCUUCUGGAAGGGAUCACUCUUGUAUUCUCCACCGUUGUCUGUUCGGAGAAUCUUGAUCUUUCUUCCCAUCUGGUUUUCAACCUGAGCUUUCCAUUUAAGGAAAAUCUCUAGCACCUCAUCCUUGCUUUUCAUAGUAAACACCCAAACUCUUCUGGAAAAAUCAUCAAUAAAAGUGACAAAAUAAUACCUGCCACCAAGGGAUGGAGUCUUGGCAGGUCCCCACACAUCUGAGUGCACAUAAUCUAAAAUACCCUCGGUAUUAUGGAUACCAGUGCCAAAUUUCACUUUUCUUUGUUUUUCCAGCACACAAUACUCACAAAAUUCUAAUUUGCAAACUUUCGUACCUUUCAAUAAUCCUUGUUUGGCAAGAUUUUGCAAGGAUUUUUCACCAGCAUGUCCCAAUCGCAUGUGCCACAACUUUGUUGCCUCUGCAUCUUUCUUGCUACUGGAAGAUGUUGCUGCUGCUGCUGUCCCAACAACUGUACUACCUUGGUAGUAAUACAGGUUAUUCUUCCUCACACCUUUCAACAUCACAAGUGCUCUCGAAGUUACUUUAAGAAUUCCAUCUCGCAUCUUCACUUCCAGGCCUUUUGACUCCAAGAGUCCCAAGGAGAUGAGAUUCCUUUUCAAAUUCGGCACGAAUCGAACAUCCUUCAAGAUUCUGGUAGAUCCAUCAUGAUUACGCAGCUUGAUUGAUCAUAUCCCAACUGUUUUACAUGGAUUGUCAUUUCCCAUGUACACAACUCCACCAUCAAAUUCUUCAAAUUCAAAGAACCAUUCCCGUAUGGGAGACAUAUGGUAGGUACAAGUUGAAUCCAAAAUCCACUCAUCUGGAUGGGAUGUUAAAGGUGAUACAGCCAAAGAGAAAUCUGAUUCCGCAUCACUUUUGCAUUCUGCAACAUUUACGUAUUGCGGAGCUUUCCCUCUCUUCUUUAACUUUGGACAGUCUUUCUUCCAGUGCUCUUUCUCACGACAGAAAGCACACUCAUCUUUGGCAACUCUGCUUUUCGAUUUGGACCUUCCUCUUCUCCCCUUUGAUUGGCUUUGUUGACGACCUCUUGCCACUAACGCUUCAUCUGCUGCAACUACUUUCUUUUUCAUUUUAUCCUGCUUUCUCAAUUCACGACUAUACAAAGCAGAACAUACAGCAUCUAAAGACACAUUUUCCUUCCCAUGAAGUAACGUAGUUUCCAAAUGUUCAAAUUCAUCAGGAAGGGAUGAUAACAACAUCAAAGCCAAAUCUUCAUCUUCAAAAUUUACAUCUAAAUUAAACAGGUCUGCUACUAAUUGAUUAAACAUAGUGAUGUGUUCAUUCAUAGUAGUACCUGGUUGGUAAUCGAAUCGGAACAAUCUUUUCUUCAUUAGGAGUUUAUUCUGACCACUUUUCUUCAGAAAUUUCUCCUCCAAUACCCUCCACAAUUUCCAUGCAGAAGUCUUGUUCUUGAAAGCAUAUUUUUACUCUUUGGACAAACACGAUCGAAUAGUUCCGCAUGCCAACCGAUUUAUGGUACUCCACUCCUUCUCUUCUAUGUCAUCUGGUUUCUUUUCUUCAAUGGCAAUGUCAAGACCCUGUUGGAAAAGGGAGUCCAUGACUUCGCCUUGCCACAUGCCGAAAUGGCCAGUACCGUCAAAUGUGUCCACCGCCACCUUCAAACUUGACAUUGGAAUUCUCGACCAUGUGGACGAGGAAGCCGACGCCCCAGAUAUAAUUCUUGACGUGGAAUUGUCAGAUGCCAUUACAGACUCAAAUGAUAGUAUUCAAUAUAACAAAUUACAAACAAGCCAAAGGACGAACCUUCGGCUCUGAUACCACUUGUUGGGGAAACCGGGUAAUUUCCCACUCAAAAAUACAACUAGUGAUUAAACCGAUUCAGUAAUUCUCAGGAAAGAUCGUCGAAACAAUCUCCUUAGACAGAAUUACCAUUCCAAAUAAAUUCCCAGGUAAGGCUGGAGGGGUCACAAGCGGUCCCACUUAAAACCCAGUCUCCUAGACAGAACUUACGUGCACGGUGUAUUAUCACAACUAUACCCGUGUGUACAUAAAUAAUACGUAAACACGAAUAAGAAAAUACACCCAAAAGAAUCGUAUAAUACACUACAAAUAAACCCGACAAAUAUAUUGAAUACUAUACUAUAAUUGAAAAGAAACUGUUAAAUAAAUGCGGAACAAAAUAAAAGAGAUAACGAAAGAACGCACCCGAAAAUUGAUAACGGAGUUCGGCCAAUUUUGCCUACUCUCCGAGCACCACUCAAGCAGUCCGCUUUUAUAAAUUUUGGGAGAAGAAAGACUUACAAAAGAAUUACAAAAUCCUUUUUGGUGUAAUUCUUUUUUUUUCUUUUUCUUUUUGGUACAUCUCAAUUGGGAAGCUUGAGAGCUAAUUUAUAGCUCUCAAGCAACCUCUCAAAUGCUAAGUUACCCGAUGUGGGAUUUGUAAAUUUUGCCAAAAAUCAACAAUAUUGGCUUGAGAUAGUCAAUAAUAUUGGCUUUGAAUUCAAAUGUUGCCUUUGAAUUCAACAGAAACAUACAUAAAACCGUGAAACCCUUCAAGUUCAAAGGUGCUGUAAUUAUAUAUAUUGACCCCCAAAUAAUUGAAAAUUCGUAUUGUUACCAUCACAAUAAUUCCCUUUGCCCUGCAAUCCAGGUUAAAGUUCCAUGCCAAGUCUCCUUCAAUCUUUCUCAUGGCAAAGUCUUUGUGGAAAAAGAUGGUGCAUGUGGAACACGCUUCCACGUUAUUCACGGGCAGCCAUGUUGGUGGUCAGAAAUUCGCAAUCUGCUAUUGUUUAUCGAUUUCUACAAAGAAAUGAAUAGAAAUCUGAUAAAUCAAGCCAAAUUUAGCAUCGGCAUUUCUUUUCUCCUAAGCAAAUGCCAUUUAUGCAGUUUUUCCUACCUUACAAAUGUGGGCAUAGAUGUCUCAGAUUAUCCUGACACUUCAGUUUUCCCUCGUUCUAGAAGUAUAUUCACAGUCUGAGCAUGCUUUGUUUUUUAUUUUAUUUUAUUUUUCCUGCAAUGUCAAUUAUUUCACUUUUCGCUAGCAUUAGUUUAGGAUUUGAGAAUCGAUUCAAAUCAGUUACAGUACCAGGCAUUUUUUUCCUGCUUUAGGAAGUGCGGAACGCGGGAACAGUUUAUGGAGCCAGCAUAGGAAUCAGACCAGCAGAAAAUCCAUGAUAAAGAGGAAGUGAAGAUGACUUAAUGGUUAAGGCAAAAUGGGACAGACAUAUACAAAACUCAGCGUCUAAGCGAUCAAUUGAUUUCAAUCCUUCGCGAAGGCUGCAAUUUUGCUCAGGUAUUUGAGUGCGCUGUCAAGAAAUACGAGAGAAAUGGGUGUCUUACUAAAGAGACGUAAACCUGAUAUGGCCUCAAUUCAGUCCAUGGAACCUGGAUUGUCUGAUGCUGUGAUUUUGACCUCCUGCUGCUGAAAUAAUUCACAUUGCAAAGACUAUUGCACAAGGAAAAAAAAAAAAAAUACUGUGACUCAAAUAAUCCACUUGAAUUUUGCUCUUCUUAUCUCAAUUACAAGUGCUCAAUGUAAUUGCAUAGACAAAAGGCAGUGACAACUGACAAGUUCCUGGGCAGUCGCUUUAAAGGGAAAAAAACAAAAAAUGUAAGAAGAACACGUAUAAAUAUGUACAAACUGUUGGAGAAUUGAAUAUCCAUAUGUCAGAGUCAGACAGACCAGCGUUGUCUCCUCCGUGUCAAUUAUUAGCAACUGCCAAUAAUAAUUAUAAUGUCGCGCAAGAUUCUGCUCCGUAAUGACUAUGAAUUUGGACAUUUAUUAGGAAGACAAAUCUGGCCGGCUUUUCUUUCCAAUUUUUCAGAAGACAAAUCUGGCUUUUCUUUUACCUAAAUGUCCCUCACUUAACGUAUCCACAUCAAACUAAAACACCCCCCCUCUGGACGUCGAAAUCCCACGCCCACCAACCAACCAGUGCCAGAAAUUAUUAUUAUUUGUUUCGUUGUAUAAAUGAUUUUAUGAUUCCAGCUUUGCCCACGCGUCAUUGUUGGACGUAAAACUCCUCCAUCUUUCUUCUUCAGCAUUUAUCAAGUGGAUGCUUGGCUUCUUGUACACAAUUGAAUCCGAGUCUACAAAACCAACUGCUCUGGGGAUCAAAUACGACGGACUCUGGCAAUCUUCAUCUCCAUCUCCAUGCAUCGAAGAUUCCCCCGAAACAUUGUUGUAGGCCCUAAAUGACCCACUUCGACGACCAUGUGAUUCACUGAAUUAUAUGAUUAAGUUUGACAACUAUACCUUUGUCUUCUUCGCUUCCAACAGUCCAAAAGAACUAAAAGUAUGUACAUUAAAUACAGAAGUUCUUCUUUUGAACAAGUUCCUGAUGCAUGGAAAAACGAAGCUUGUAUUCUUUGACAAAAGGAUCGGUGCCUAAACAAAUAAAAUUGUUCUUUGCCAAGUUCAAACACACAUACUUUAUCAUAUGCAUUUUCUGCUGAUUGCUUCAUCUAUUAUAAUUUAUAGCAUACAUAAUUGAUGAGUAAUGGAGAGGAAAACAAAAGCAGUGUGAGCCUCCAUAGCAAUGAAGCCGAAAAACUAUGCAUGCUAGCGAGGCUUUUACUAGAGCGUAGUAUGUGGAUAAAAUCUGGGAUUUAUGCUUUUGUUUCUCAAUAUCUUAAAUUCAUAAACCUCUUUUGCUCAAAAUAAAUAAAUAAAUGAAUUCAUAAUUAAAUUCAAACAACAAACAAGAUUUUUUGCUGUAUUUUUGAGUUUGAUGGACCCAAACCAUCAUCACAGGAAAAUCUUCAAGAAAUUACUCGACAACAAAAACCCACGAGAAAAUCUUCAGGAAAUUGAUUAAGAGACAAAGGGGAAAAAAAAAAAACCUUUUAUUUCUCACGAUGAAGAUGAAGGCUGCGGCUUUUCUACUCUCAUGAAUCUUAGGCCAUUGCACACUUUAGACGAAACAGAGGGACUCUCAUGGUUGUCCCAUGCGGCUUACUUGUCACAUACAACUACCGUACUGCCUGACAACUAUUGUACUGACUACUACGUACAAGGGACUGUAUCUCAUGUUGUCAUCAUACAAACUGAAUAAUAACUUACACUACGAAUGACACCUGGCUCUCUACUAACUUAACAUAUACUAAUACUAAAGCAUAAAAGCGUAAUAAGGCUUGAUUUAAUAAUUUCUUUACAGAGUUUCAAACUAAAGUUUGAUGUUGUUCUUUUAAUAAGUAAUAAUCUUGUGUUUGAGUAUAAAUAGUAUUAAUCUUGUAGUUGGAUAUUAGAGCUGAGGUUUGUUCUAUAGAAAGGUGUGUAGUAAAUUUAAGGAGUUUUGAGAAAUAAAAAAAAAAAAGAAGAAGAAAUUGAUAAGAAAAGGCAUAGGUAAAGUCCUGCCGGCUGAGGAGAUGAUAUCUUCUCUGCUUACACAUGCAAUCUACCUAGAUACACUUAAAAAAUAGAUUAAAAAGGUUAAAAUAUUUUAUGUACAAUUAAAAAGAUGUACGAAUUGUCUGACCUAUGGCCGCCGAGCAUUAUAGUACGAACUACAAACUGCAUGAGAAAUGUGCAGUACAAAUUGUCUAUUUUCUUAUAAGUUUUCCGUCUGUAUAGUAUCGUAGUACAACCAAGUAGUACAGACAAUUGAAAGCUAAACUGCUAAAGGCCCCAACGAUCAACAAGCCUACUUAUAGUUAUAGGGGUAUGCCAAGUUUAUACUGAUUAGUACUAAUUCGGAUGUGGGCUCUCAGGAAAGAAUAAUUAUCCUUUCGAAAGGCGAAAGAUGAGAAUGAUUCAUUUGAAGAUUAUCAAAGUGUGUUGGUGACUUUCGUGCGGAAACUGGAGAGUGGUUUUGUAACCAUUGGUGCUAUUGAAACUCACCUUGCUCCCAAAUUCGGGUUUUUGGUGUUUUUUUUUUUCGAAUUUUCUGUCGAGGUUCAAAAUUUCUUGCAACUUUCUUUCCAUUUCCAAUAUGCCGUAAAUUGUAACAGCAGAUGGUUUUCUAUUUCAGUAUGAGACUGUGUAUUAUGGUCACAGCACCUCUCUUUGGACCAAAAUCACCAACACGCUUUCGUGAUCAUCAGCCCUACUCAAAUUCUCUCAACUCCUCAUCCAUUCUGAAGCUGGAGGAUGUUUUCUCUGUGCCCAGCACAAGCAGGUAAAAUUUCCGAAUUGCCAUGUGUUAAUUUGUUGCACGAAUAUAGUUUACUUGCUUGGAUCUGUCAUUCGGAAGCAGGAAACAGGGAAUGGAUGAAAGAAUUCAGGGGCGCAACGGAUCUUCUGUCCCACACCCUGUGCCACUCUCUAUCCCACUUUUUAUUAUAUUGCUAUUUCUCCUACAUAAACAUUAUAUUUUAGUUCUUUUUUAUUUUUUAAAGAUCCAAUAAUUAUUAAUUGAGUAAUAUACAAAAUUUAACAAACUUAAAAUAUUAUAAAAUAAAUACAGCAACUUCAAUAACUAUUAAUUGAGUAAAAAAUAAAUACAACAGUUUCAAAAAAGUAAUAUAUAAUAGAAAAUUAAAAAAGACAGCAAAAAAUUCAUAAAAAAUCUCAUUUAAUAGUUAUUGAAAAAUCAUGAUAACAUUGAAUUGUGGUCCUAAAUAUCAAUUAGUAAAAAGUCACGGGACUGUGUGUGUUGUCCAGAGGUAAGACUGUGACAUUGCCUAAAUAUCAAUUAGUAAAAAGUCACGGGACUGUGACCUGGCCAAUUAACCACUGAGUCUAGCUCAGUGGCCAUCAGGAAGGGAUUUAAAUCUUUUCUUGGGUUGUAGGUGAGGAUUCAAAUUUUAUCUGUAAAAAAAAAAAAAAGUUCUAAGGGUUGUGUCAUAACACUUUCUUGGUCUAGUUGGAUUUGUAUAUCUACUGGCCCUUGACACAAGCCUCCUUAGACUCCUCCUCCCCCUAAAUUAGAAUAGAAUAUGUUAUAUCGUUGCGAGGAAAAAAAAAAAAAAAAAGGACCGACCCAUGCAGAGGCUAGUUAAAAAAAUUUGAUUUUUUGAGUUUGUUAAAUUUUGUGUAUUACUCAAUUAAUAGUUAUUGAAUCAUAAGGAAGCAAAAAAGAACUAAAACAUGAUGUUUAUGAAUGAGAAAUAGCAAUAUAAUAAAAAGUGGGACAGAGAGUGGCACAGGGUGUGGGACAGAAGAUCCGUUGCGCUCCAAAUGGCAUACCGAUCAACUGUUGCCCUCCCUCCGCUGCGGGUAGCAGUGAUUAUACACCUUCUGCUCGCGAAGUCUACACAAGAAUGCCGGCUCACACGGUCAGCCAUGACUACGUCAAAAAAUAUUCAUCUGCCAUUGCAAAAUGAAGAACCUUUCUCUGAGCGAUCCUCGUAAUUUUUACCAACUAGCAAACGUCCAUUGCGUGUACUGUGACGAAGGGUACUCUCAAUUGGGCUUUCCAGACAAAAAAUUGGACGUUCAUAACUCAUGGCUAUUUUUUCCGUGGCACAGAUGGUACCUUUAUUUCUUCGAAAGAAUUUGUAUGAUGUUACGUUUACUCUGCCAUUUUGGCACAGAUGUUACGUUUACCCGACCCCUGUUGGUUGCCAUCAAAUCUUCUUCUGUUGUUCUUUAGUGCGACUGCAAUAGAAUGAUACCGUAUGGGUUACGGUCUCAGUAGUCGCUGACAUUGAUAAGAAAAACAAUUGAACUCAAGAAGCAAGUAUGAUAUCAUAAAAUGUGAAUGCAAAAGGCAACAUUAAUUCGCCAUUUUUGUGUUCCACUUUUGCAACUCGAAUGUGAAUGCAAAGCUACGUAUUCCAGUCCAGAUUUACCAUGAACACACAUCAUUGGAAAUGAAAAUUUCAGUUUAUAAGAAAAAGAUAUUUGGUAGGCCAAAAACUUGUUCAAUAAUUGAAACAAACAAGGGGAGCUUAGGAAAUUUCCGGGCCAGAUAUGGGUACAGCACUUUCUUCUCGUCCCUUUGCAUAACAAUUCAAGCUUAGCAAUGAAUUUCUAGUCCCUAUCUUGAUCAAGGAGUCUGUUUGUAAGGUGUGUUUUUUCUGGUGUUUGUAUAAACUUUUACAGUAAUUUAUUGUGAAAGUUGAACAAAUUUUUUUGUAUAAAUAAGAUUUGAAAAAACUGAAAAAUUUUCAUGAUUUUUGCCUUUUGUUCUCCAUUCUUUUUUUCCCCCUUUCCUUCCUCUUUCUUCUUCCUCUCCACUCCUAUUUUGAUCUUCCUCCUCCCUCUCCAUUAUCGCCACCGCUGGUCGCCACCUCUCUCUCUCUCUCUCCCCCCCUCUUCAUCCUUGCCCCAUCCAUAUUGAUUAUAAAGUAUAAAUUCGUUAUUUCAUUUUAAAAUGUGGUGUGGCAGUCAAAUUACUACAAUGGGACCAUCAGCGGCCAUAACUAUCUCUCGUUAAAAUGUAAUUCAAAUAUUAAUAUUUUAAAAUAUAAAAUUAAAUAAGAGAAAUUUAUAAAUGCCAUUAAAUCAAAAAAAUAUCACUAAAGUAUGCAUAAAUUGCCAUUUUUUAAUGUCAUUAGAAAAGAAUUUUCUUCUAGUGUACAAUUAGUAGUGAAAUAAAGAAUCUUAGGGAAAUUAUUUGAAUUGUUUUCAUUUUCUUCACAGAGUUACUGUCCCAAAAUUACUAAAAAUUUUGGAUUGUGAUCUUUUGGACAUAUAUUUUUACAUUUUUUUCCACACAAUUUCCAAUCUCUUUUUUUUUUUUAAUCUUACAUACGUCACAUCCUUUAAAAAAAAUACUAUAAUAAUUUUUUUUCCAAAAAUUCUCCAAAAAAUGCAAUCUAAAUGGGGUCUAAUUAUUUCAAUGAAUCAUACAAUUUCAGGGUACAUCCAGACAAUAUCAAAUUGUGGGAUGAAUUUUACAAUCAUUAUUGAAAUGACACUAAUGGUCACUUUACUUGUGGUCCUUGAAUCUUAACCCAAUUAUGCAAAAUCUACAAUAGACAAUUGAAAAGGUGUCUGUGGGCCAUCAUAUCGCGCCAACUGAUCCACGUAUGUGCAUGCAUUUGUCCAAUCAAUGGAUAUCUUUAGAUAACUUUUUUUUCCAUUAAACCCUCGGCUAGCCCCAGGUGGUUUAGGUAACUUGUUUUAGAAAUUUUUUUUUAAAAAUAUCAAUUACGAAAACACUUUAAAACAAUCACACAAUUUGAAAAAUAUACAAGAAAACAUGAAAUAGGCACUGAUGGUGGGAGUAGGUACUGGUGGUAGGUGGAGUUUGCCGUGGUCUGUGAUGGGUGGUGGCCUGGUGGGGGAGGGGAAAAUAUUAAUUUUGAAUUAAUAUUAAUAUUUUUUAAAAAUAAACAUAGUAAAAUUUUAAAUAAACACUUUCAUUUGGAUUGGUCUACUUUUUAAAAACUAAUUUUUCAAAUACAAUGUUACAGUAAUACAAAAACAAAAACAAUUUAAAAAAAUUUCAUUCAUACAAUAAAUCAAAAACAACUCACAAAUAUACACAAAAAAUUUUAAAAAAUUUUACAAUAUUUUCCACUUAUCACUACCACUCGCCACCGCCACCACUGCCACCACUACCACCCUCUUCCUCCUCUCCUCGACCAGAUCCAGGGGAGGAGGGGAAGAUUGAAGGGUGGGGGGGGGAAAGGGAGGGGAGGAGGAAAAGGAAAGAGAAAGGAGGAGAGAAAGAGUGGUGACGGUUGUGGUUGUAGGUGAUAGUAUUAAUUUUUAAAAAAUAUUUUAAAAAUAUUUUAAAUUUAAAAAGUACUUCAAAUUAUAUUUCAAAAACUCCUCCAAAAAAUCACAAAAAAAAUUUUAUAGUAAAAAUUUUUCAGACACACUACUAUAGUAAAAUAUUUCAAAAAAAUUCCAAAAAAUAACUUAUCCAAACGAACCUAUAAUAUCCAAGCAGACCGUCAUUGAACAAGUUCUGCUUUUUUAUUCGCUGCAUUUAUGCUCAAUUAAAAGAUUGCACUGAAAUAUCAAAACUAUAUUAUCUAUUUUCCUUUUCUUCUCAAAGGUAUUGAAAAAGUUUUUUAACUUAAUACUUUGAACGAAAUAUCAUAUUAUAUCAGAAUAAUCCAAACAAUACAAAAUUGGCUAAUUGAAUUUUUUUAUUAUUACUCAAACCACUAUAAUUACUUUGCUUGUGGUCCUUUAUUCUCCAACAACACAUUAAAAAACAUACGCUCCAUUUGGAUUAACUAUUUUUGAGAGUGUUUUUGAAAUAUUUUAUUAUAGCAUUGUAUAUGAAAAAAUUUUAUUAUAAAUAUUUUUUGAAAUAUUUAAUAUAUUGUAUGAAUGAAAUAUUUUUUGAGUUAUUUUUGUUUGUAUAUUACUAUAAUAUUGUAUUUAAAAAAUUUGUUUUUGAAAAAUAGGUGAAUCCAAAUAAUUGAUAAGAGAAAAAAGGGAUCCUAUGGGCUAUAACACCACACGAACUUAUCCAUGCAUUUGUAGAGUUCUGCUGUCCAGUCUCAGCAUUUAUCCAUUUAUACAUUAUCGAAAGAUUUCUUUCUGCUCUCCACUAUCCACAUUAAUUAGACUAUCAUUCUCGAAUGGGUUUGGACAGGUGCGUUUUAGGUUUCUAUGCAAAUUUUUUUUUUUUUUUUUGUCGCUCCUAGAAUUUAAUCUAAUCUAAUCGAGGGGAGGAGGGGGAGGGGGACUCGAUGUGACUCCAUCGAACAUGACCAAUUAAGAUCGUCAUAAAUUGUAACAAUUUUUGGGUGAGAGGCAAGGAUCGAACCCUUAACCUCCCGCACCACCAAUACUUUUAAAGGCUUCUAUGCAAUUAUUUGAUUGUGUAUAUUUUACACAAUCUGGCAUACACUAAUAUUAUUAAUUUAAUAUAUGAAUAAAACUACAUUGAUAAACAUACACCAACAUCUAAAAAAAAAACAGAAAAAUGAUAUUAACACUUCCAAAAAAGUUUCUAACACUCCAUCCUCCCUUUAAAACAUAUAGAAACGAUGUAUUGCAGGAAGAGCACAAAAAAGGGACGGAAUGGAGGAUAGAAUGCUCGGGACUCUCUUUUUUUUUUUUUUUUUAAGUGCCAAUAAGAUCUCCCAAAAAGUAUCAAACCUCAAUUGUACUUGCUCCAAUUCCCUUCAAAUUGUGUAGAAUGUUAUUGAUCCUAUCCUAUUGAAUUAAUGCAGCAGUCAUCAUAGACUUUGCGACUGACCUUGCAUCCUUCUUCAAUUACAUCCACCAAAGAACACCAAUAACCAACCUAGAAAAAAAAAAAAAAAAGAAGAAAAACACCACUAGCCACAAGCACGUGUUUAACGCUGUACUUCUAUUUAGCAAGAAGAAAAAUAAAUACAUCGGUGACACGGGGUCGCCAAUUGCUUCAGUAUAAGAGUAGGAGCUUCCCUCAGCUUCUUCGCUACAACAAUCCCCCUAAAGAAAACUAGCCAAUGGCAUCUCUUUCAACUCCCCUUCAAAGCUCCACUGCCUACUCCUCCACCUCCACUCUGUCCUCCUGCCCUUUCUCAACCAAGCCAUCACAGUUUUACCUCAGUGCCAAACGUAACUAUCAUCAGUUCACGGUUUCAUGCAAAAACAAUGAAAGCCAUGAACAAGUUGACAAUCUUGAUAGGAGGGAUGUGCUUUUGGGCUUGGGUGGCCUUUAUGGCACCUCAAACCUCAUCACCAACCCUUUUGCCAUGGCAGCUCCUAUAGCCGCCCCAGAAAUCUCCAAAUGCCGUCAUCCGAAGGACUUACCUUGUGGAGCAGUUGUCACUGACAAUUGCUGUCCGCCGGUGCCCGGCAAAGUCAUUGACUACAAACUCCCUCCACCACCUAAGGUGAACCGUUUUAGGCCAGCUGCUCAUUUGGUCAAGCAAGACUAUAUUGAAAAACUUAACAAGGCGGUCGAGCUCAUGAAAGCUCUGCCAGCUGAUGAUCCCCGUAAUUUUACCCAACAAGCAAAUGUUCAUUGCGCUUAUUGCAACGGUGCCUACAUCCAAUCAGGCUCUGAUCAAGAAAUUCAAGUCCAUAACUCGUGGCUAUUCUUUCCUUUUCAUAGAUGGUAUUUGUACUUCUAUGAAAGAAUCUUGGGAAAGCUAAUAGGCGAUCCCAGUUUUGGACUGCCCUUUUGGAACUGGGACAACAUUGGUGGUAUGACCCUACCGUCCAUAUUUCAGGACCAAUCGUCAGCACUGUAUAACCAAAAUCGUAACCAAAGUCAUCUGCCACCAACAGUCGUGGACUUGGGGUAUAAUGGUACGGAUACAGAUGCAACAGACAUAGAAAGGAUAAAAAACAAUUUGGCAAUCAUGUACCGUCAAAUGGUCACUAAUUCCACCACUGCCAAAGAUUUCUUUGGAAAGGAAUACCGGGCCGGCGAUGCGCCCAGCCCGGGUGCAGGGUCCAUCGAGGCCAUUCCCCAUAUCCCAAUCCACAGGUGGGUCGGCGAUCCAAGGCAGCCAAAUGGUGAAGAUAUGGGUAAUUUCUACUCAGCUGGAAGAGAUAUUGUGUUCUAUAGCCAUCAUGCAAAUGUGGACCGGAUGUGGACAAUUUGGCAGCAAUUGGGAGGUAAAAGGAAGGAGGUCCCCGAUCCAGAUUGGCUGAAUUCUUCCUUCAUUUUCUACGAUGAAAAUGCUCAGCCUGUCUGCGUGAAAGUUGGUGAUUGUUUUAGCAAUGAUAAAAUGGGAUAUAUUUACCAAAAGGUGGAUAUUCCUUGGGUCAAGAAUAAGCCCGUGGCCCGCGUGACAAAAUCUAGGGUGGCUUUCACUUCCGGGGCACCACAAGCUGAUAAGGUCUUCCCGGGACCCCUUAACAAGACCGUGAAAGUGUUGGUCAAGAGGCCCAAAUUAUCAAGAAGCAAGAAGCAAAAGGAGGAGGAGGAAGAGAGAUUGGUGGUGUCCGGGAUCGAGUUUUCCAUGGACAAGUAUGUUAAGUUUGAUGUUUUCAUUAAUGAUGAAGAUGAUAAUCCAAACGAUUUUGCUAAGUCCGAGUAUGUUGGGAGCUUUGCACAUUUGCCACACAAGGUUAAAGGUGACAUGAAAGUUAAGACUACUCAAACCUUUGAGUUGACUGAGAUUUUGGAGGACUUAGAUGUUGAAGAAGACGAUGCCCUGUUGGUGACUUUGGUGCCAAAGUCCAAAACUGCUCUUACCAUUGAUAGCAUCAAGAUUGAGGUUGCUGCUUGAUUCACCUGCUAGUACUUUUUUUUUUUUUUUUUUAAUCUCCUCCCUGGGAAAAAAUCUGGCAUUAGAUUUCAUCGAUUGCUUUGAUUUUGACCUAUGCAUGCAUGUUUCAGCACCAUGAAUAAAAUACUUCUGGUGUGCUUGUCACCAGUUAAUAAAAAUAUGUUUCAGCACCUAUCUGACAACGUCCCUUUUGGUUUUUCUUUUUGAAAAGUUUAAUUUACAUUAAAGUUUAAGAUCUUAUGACGCCAUCUAUCUAACUUUCUCCACUCAAAAAAAAAAGGAAAAAAAAAGAAAUAGAAAAAGACAAUUCUUCCUCAAUCAAAAUUAAAUUUUUCUGUGCGUAUCCAGAAGGAAAACAAAAAGUAAUCCUCAAGUACCACGUUUGGCAAAGCUUACAAGUGUUAGCUUCCGAUUCGCCAUUUCAAGUAGUCAGAUAGACUAUACAUUUAAUUUACCAAAAUAUAGGAGAGUAUUUUUUUUUUUUUUUUGAAAAAGAAUAUAGGAGAGGUUACAAAAAGUAAGGGAAUUCUACAAUAAUAAUGAUCCUUGCUUUUUGUGUGUUGAGGAAAGAGGUGAUUUCUUAAAUUUGUGCGAUCCCACUUUUCAUUUCAUAUACCACUUUUGAUUUCAUGUGCAACCUUAUUAAUUUGUGAAGACAGAACUUUAUAUUCUCCUACUUUCACAAUCAAUAGUUCAAUACAUAAGAAUAUCUGCAGCACAUGUGAAAGCUUGAUCAACAACAAAGGAAUUGAUUAGUUUCUAGCUCAAGUUGCCUAAUGAUUCAUAGGAAUGAAAGUUAAAAGGGCUUGACCCCGGCUCCUAUUUUUUAAUGUACAUUUACUUUAUAGGAAUAGGGUAAUAAUAUGCCAACCUACCCAAAGUUUCACGACCACGACAUGGAUCUCCCCUUGAAUUCUUGGAAGUGUAAUUUAGUGUUAAGUGUAUAAUAUGAGCUGUUAUACAUUUUUCUUAGAAUUCUAAGGGCGUUCUUGUUAUAGUGAGCAUCCACUUAAACACUAACAUCUUCCUUGUGUGCAACUGCUUCUUGUAAAACGAUCUAAGCAAGUGUCUUUAAAAUUCUUGGUCCGACUCUUAAGUCCUUGUUUUCUUCAUUUUUCCCUUAUAAUGCUUGAAAUUUUCUUUGAACAAUUAAAAGAAAAGUUGAAUAAGGACAGAUAAAGAUUAAUAUAACUUUAUAUAAGUGAAUUCUCUAUUCCUUUCCCCCUCCCUACUUUUGAAGUUCUUGUAGAUUUAUUACCAUUCGAAAUAUUUGACAAACUUGGCUCUCUCACUCUACAUUAAAUAGCUAUCGGUCAAAUUUACCAGGUUCGGAUAUAUUGCAGUCUUGUAGGACAAAGACCGACCAAUAAUUUGAUGUCAUCGGAAAUGCCUGUCGAGAAUUUACAAAGGGAACAUAUCCAGUCUCACAAAUAUAUGAAAUGGGGCAACAUAUAUAUUUGGUGAACCAUAUCCAGUCUCACAAAUUAAUCUUGAGUACAAUAAAUAUGCUGUGCUCCAAGAAUUAGACUAGAGAUGGAUCUUCUGUGGUGUAACCGGGCAAUGACCGACCAACCAGUAGGCUAUGUAUAUUGUUGUUGGAGUAGUUAGAUUCACAUUUGAGCUUUCACAUGCGAUGUUUCCCUCGCUACUACAAAAAUGUCCUUUUAUGACAUUUAAAAGCGUCAUUAUAGCUCAAUGUAAUGACGUUUGAUCUAUAAUGACGCUCUGCUAGAAACGCCGUCCAUUCCAGCGUCACUAUAAGUUUUAUGACAGUCAGAGGAGUCAUAAUUUAUAGUUCUGUUGGCAUUUGUAAACGUCAUUAUUUAUCGUUUUAAUGACACUUUAAAAUGACAAGAAAUCCUUUGGACAGAAUCUCAUACUCAAAAUGUCCCAUUUGUAGAAUAUUUUUUAAAUUCAUCAUAAUUUUAGAAAUUUCUCUGAAAGUCACCAACACACUUUGAUAAUCUUCAAAUGAAUCAUUCUCAUCUUUCGCCUUUCGAAAGGAUAAUUAUUCUUUCCUGCGAGCCCACAUCCGAAUUAGUACUAAUCAGUAUAAACUUGGCAUACCCCUAUAACUAUAAGUAGGCUUGUUGAUCGUUGGGGCCUUUAGCUUUCAAUUGUCUGUACUACUUGGUUGUACUACGAUACUAUACAGACGGAAAACUUAUAAGAAAAUAGACAAUUUGUACUACACAUUUCUCGGCGGCCAUAGGUCAGACAAUUCGUACAUCUUUUUAAUUGUUCAUAAAAUAUUUUAACCUUUUUAAUCUGUUUUUUAAGUGUAUCUAGGUAGAUUGCAUGUGGAAGCAGAGAAGAUAUCAUCUCCUCAGCCGGCAGGACUUUACCUAUGCCUUUUCUUAUCAAUUUCUUCUUUUUUUUUUUUUAAUUUCUCAAAACUCCUUAAAUUUACUACACACCUUUCUAUAGAACAAACCUCAGCUCUAAUAUCCAACUACAAGAUUAAUACUAUUUAUACUCAAACACAAAGAUUAUUACUUAUUAAAAGAACAACAUCAAACUUUAGUUUGAAACUCUGUAAAGAAAUUAUUAAAUCAAGCCUUAUUACGCUUUUAUGCUUUAGUAUUAGUAUAUGUUAAGUUAGUAGAGAGCCAGGUGUCAUUCGUAGAGUAAGUUAUUUUUCAGUUAGUAUGAUGACGACAUGAGAUACAGUCCCUUGUACGUAGUAGUCAGUACAAUAGUUGUCAGGCAGUACGGUAGUUGUAUGUGACAAGUAAGCCGCAUGGGACUACCAUGAGAGUCCCUCUGUUUCGUCUAAAGUGUGCAAUGGCCUAAGAUUCAUGAGAGUAGAAAAGCCGCAGCCUUCAUCUUCAUCGUGAGAAAUAAAAGGUUUUUUUUUUCCCCUUUGUCUCUUAAUCAAUUUCCUGAAGAUUUUCUCGUGGGUUUUUGUUGUCGAGUAAUUUCUUGAAGAUUUUCCUGUGAUGAUGGUUUGGGUCCAUCAAACUCAAAAAUACAGCAAAGAAUCUUGUUUGUUGUUUGAAUUUAAUUAUGAAUUCAUUUAUUUAUUUAUUUUGAGCAAAAGAGGUUUAUGAAUUUAAGAUAUUGAAAAACAAAAGCAUAAAUCCCAGAUUUUAUCCACAUACUACGCUCUAGUAAAAGCCUCGCUAGCAUGCAUAGUUUUUUCGGCUUCAUUGCUAUGGAGGCUCACACUGCUUUUGUUUUCCUCUCCAUUACUCAUCAAUUAUGUAUGCUAUAAAUUAUAAUAGAUGAAGCAAUCAGCAGAAAAUGCAUAUGAUAAAGUAUGUGUGUUUGAACUUAGCAAAGAACAAUAAUUUUAUUUGAUUUGGGGAGAACAAAAAAUUGCUUAUGAGUACUAAACCAGUGGUUUUCUCUUAACCAGGAACUUGUGCAAAGUAGUUUGUUUAGGCACCGAUCCUUUUGUCAAAGAAUACAAGCUUCGUUUUUCCAUGCAUCAGGAACUUUUGUACAUAUUUAUACGUGUUCUUCUUACAUUUUCUGUUUUUUUCCCUUUAAAGCGACUGCCCAGGAACUUGUCAGUUGUCACUGCCUUUUGUCUAUGCAAUUACAUUGAGCACUUGUAAUUGAGAUCAGAAGAGCAAAAUUUAAGUGGAUUAUUUGAGUCACAGUUUUUUUUUUCACUGUGCAAUAGUCUCUGCAAUGUGCAUUAUUUCAGCAGCAGGAGGUCAAAAUCACAGCAUCAGACAAUCCAGGUUCCAUGGACUGAAUUGAGGCCAUAUCAGGUUUACGUCUCUUUAGUAAGACACCCAUUUCUCUCGUAUUUCUUGACAGCGCACUCAAAUACCUGAGCAAAAUUGCAGCCUUCGCGAAGGAUUGAAAUCAAUUGAUCGCUUAGACGCUGAGUUUUGUAUAGGUCUGUCCCAUUUUGCCUUAACCAUUAAGUCAUCUUCACUUCCUCUUUAUCAUGGAUUUUCUGCUGGUCUGAUUCCUAUGCUGGCUCCAUAAACUGUUCCCGCGUUCCGCACUUCCUAAAGCAGGAAAAAAAUGCCUGGUACUGUAACUGAUUUGAAUCGAUUCUCAAAUCCUAAACUAAUGCAAGCGAAAAGUGAAAUAAUUGACAUUGCAGGAAAAAUAAAAUAAAAUAAAAAACAAAGCAUGCUCAGACUGUGAAUAUACUUCUAGAACGAGGGAAAACUGAAGUGUUAGGAUAAUCUGAGACAUUUAUGCCCACAUUUGUAAGGUAGGAAAAACUGCAUAAAUGGCAUUUGCUUAGGAGAAAAGAAAUGUCGAUGCUAAAUUUGGCUUGAUUUAUCAGAUUUCUAUUCAUUUCUUUGUAGAAAUCGAUAAACAAUAGCAGAUUGCGAAUUUCUGACCACCAACAUGGCUGCCCGUGAAUAACGUGGAAGCGUGUUCCACAUGCACCAUCUUUUUCCACAAAGACUUUGCCAUGAGAAAGAUUGAAGGAGACUUGGCAUGGAACUUUAACCUGGAUUGCAGGGCAAAGGGAAUUAUUGUGAUGGUAACAAUACGAAUUUUCAAUUAUUUGGGGGUCAAUAUAUAUAAUUACAGCACCUUUGAACUUGAAGGGUUUCACGGUUUUAUGUAUGUUUCUGCAUGGGAUCUAAAUUCAUUACCUUUCCCCCCCCCCCCUUUCUGGGAACCUUGUACAGAUUAUGGAGGAGAAGAACGUAAAUUUUUGGAUACAUAACUGCUGAUAAUGAACCAUGAAGCCUCGUUCUUGGACUGACUCUGUCAUGUGUGUUGAGGGCUAUCAUCGAUGUCAUAGUCAUUUACCGCAUAAGGACGUACAUGGAGGAAUGGCAUUUACAGCAAAUCCUCCCAGCCGCCCUUGAAAGCUUUCAAUCCGUUCGAGCUGAAACAAAUGAUCUGAGAGAUUUGAUUUGUUUGAAGAAUUAUAAACUGAAAGGAAAGAAAUGAAAAUGAUCCUAUUCCAAUGUGCACAAGGAUCCUCUUAUUUGAGCUUGACAUGCCCCAAAAUUGUAAAAAAUUUUAAAUCAAUGACAGUUUAUCAAGAACACUAAUUGUGGAAAGAAACAAAACUUCUAAUUGUGGAUUAAAUGUCAGAGGUGACAUAAAAGAAAUGUAUUCGUCCUACAGUAAAGGAUCUGUUUGAUCAAAUGACAAAGAUAUCAUCAUCUAAUUAAUAGCAAUUAAGCAUAGCAUGUGAAGUCCAAACAAGGCCAAUCUGGCUUCCUGAAUUCGGAUUGUCGGUAGUUUUGUAGUAUCUAUAGAGAUAAAUAAAAAUGAGAUAAAACGAGACUAGGAGAAAACCUUAAUACGCUACUCGUUCUUGUGGGGGAAAAAUAGUGCUCAGAUGUUAGGGAAGUAAGUUUGCGCACCAACUUUUGUCAGUCCCAACAGGAUUUUACUCAAUACAAUAACAUACGACUCGGUAGUGAAUUUUGGGAAAUUCGGCAAAAUGUUUUGGUAAACUCUAAGACGUACUUAUUAUCACCACAUGUAUAUAUUUUUUGAAAUAUAAGAUUUCUAAAAUGCUGAAUAUCUAAGAUGUAAUUUCUUUUUUUUGUGGUUUCCAAGUAUUAUAUUAUUGUCUUUAUGUAUGCUUUUUCACUGAUGUGAAUGUUCUCUUUGAUGUUAUUUAAGCAAAAUGUUUCUUUUUUUUAGUUCACUGUUCUCGCACGUCUCAUGUGCUGAUUUUAUCUUCCAUUUUAGUUAUUUUUUCAGUUUUUUUUGGUAUUAAUGAUAGGUGAAAUGAUUGAUAUUGCUGUUUUAGUUAGAUGUUAAUGAUCAUUAGUGAUGUUUCAAUUAAAAUACUAAUUUUUAACGAAAGAUGAGACUGACACUGGACCUUUUUGAGUACUUUCAUGAUGUUUCUUUGGAAUGAUUUUGGUGGUGCCCGACAACUUUAUGUGAUUCCUCUGUUUUCCAGUGCAUGAGCUGUGUGAAAACUAAAAGUUUAACAAACGCCAAAACGAUUGAGCUGACAGAAAGUUUUUUUGCGAUUGACCGAAUUAUAAACAGCAUUACAAUUGACAACCACCAAAAUUAUCAGAAUAAAUACUAAUAAUUAAUUCCAAGGUAAUCUAAUCUAAUCUUAAAUAAGGGUACACUACUUACUGCUAGUUAUCAUAAAGGGGUCAUAAAAUACUAAUAAUUAUAUUAUUGCUGUUUUGGAAUUUUAACUUACACUCUAAUAUGCCUAGACAAGGGUAAGGAGUACAGAUGCUAAUUACCUUGCCGAUACUGUGCAACCAGAUUUUUCAAUCUUUACGGUAAAAUGAAAUUUUCAUGGAUCAUUCUAACAUCACUUCUUUGGGUGCAAUUGUUCUUACAUCACGUCCUUAGAUUUUUUUUUUUUUUUUUUUUUUACCAAGCAAGUUAAGACUUUUGUGGUAAUAAAUUAACCGAAACCACAAUUGUUCUUUACAUCACGUCCUUAGAUAAGAAUGAAAUUUUUGGUGGAUUAUGGCCACGCGUAGAAAAAAAAAAUCUCAGAAACUAGACUAAGCCUAUAUUAAUUCAUAUUAUAUUUGUGCAUGGAAAUGUGUACAAGGAACAGAAAAGGACGGAUCGCAGAUGGUCUGUUAACAAAAUUUCACGCAAACAUCGAUCAAACCUUGUAUAAAAGGAUGCAAGUGACCUGGCCAAUUAACCACUGGGCUUAGCUCCCUGGCUAUCAGGAGGGACUUAAAUCCUUUCUUGGGUUGUAGGUGAGGAUUCAAAUCUCAUCUGUAAAAGAAAAAAGUUUUAAAGAUUGUAUCAUAACAUUUUCUUGAUCUAGUUGAAUUUGUAUAUCUAUUGGCCCUUGACAUAAGCUUUCUUAGGCUUUCCCUCUCCCCUAAAUUAGAAUAAAAUAGGUUAUAUCGUUGUCUUCUUAGGCUUCCCCUUUCCCCUAGAUUAGAAUAAAAUAUAGGUUAUGUUGUUGAGAAAAAAAAAAAAAAAAAGGCCGACCUAUGCAGAGGCUAGUACAUGCAAAGCCCAAAAUGCAGACCUGACAGUAUUAGUUCAUUCAGAUCCAAAAGUGGUAAAACUUCAGCAGGGAAAUGUGAAAGAAGGGAUGUCCUUCUUGGCCUCGGAGGGCUAUAUGGUGCAACCACACUUGGCACCAAACAAUCAAGCCUUGCGCUGCCGGUUUCACCCGAUAUUUCCAACUGUACCGAUGCCAGGGAGACUCCAAAUGGCAUACCGAUCAACUGUUGCCCUCCCUCCGCUGCGGGUAGCAGUGAUUAUACACCUUCUGCUCGCGAAGUCUACACAAGAAUGCCGGCUCACACGGUCAGCCAUGACUGCGUCAAAAAAUAUUCAUCUGCCAUUGCAAAAUGAAGAACCUUUCUCUGAGCGAUCCUCGUAAUUUUACCAACUAGCAAACGUCCAUUGCGUUACUGUGACGAAGGGUACUCUCAAUUGGGCUUUCCAGACAAAAAAUUGGACGUUCAUAACUCAUGGCUAUUUUUUCCGGGGCACAGAUGGUACCUUUAUUUCUUCGAAAGAAUUUGUAAAAACUUGCUUGAUGAUGAUACGUUUACUCUGCCAUUUUGGCAAUGGGACGAUUCUUCAGGCAUGCAAAUUCCACCCAUGUUUAACGAGAGCAAAUUGUCCCUAUACAAUUGCUUCCACAACCCAAAACACUUGCCUCCUAAAGUGGUGGAUUUAGCUUACAAAGGCACCGAGAGUCAAAUCCGGUACAAUUGUUGCACAAUGUACAAUAAUGCAUGUACACGAUUGGGUUGGCGGCCCUUCCCAGCCUAACAACAAGGACAUGGGAGUCCUAUAUUCAGCCGGCUGAGACCCCAUGCUCGCCAUGCCAACGUUGAUAGAAUGUGGUACAUUUAUAACAAAGUUUUGAAACGCAAAAAUAUUGAAACGCAAGAUUGGUUAAAUUCCUCUUUUAUUUUCUUCAAUGAAGCGGCGAGACCCGUUAGAGUGACGGUUAAGGACUCCACAAAUCUCGCCACGCUUGGUUAUACCUAUCCUGACUUGCAACCUUCUUGGUUAACAUGUAAACCAACAGCGCGUAGAAAUGGCCUGAACCUGACAAAAUUGUCUUUCAAUGCCCCUAAGGCUAGUGAAGUGCUGCCAAUGAAAUUAGAGAAACCCAUCAGCUUCGUGGUUGAGCGGCCUAAGAAGGCAAGGAGUGGACAAGAGAAAGCAGAGGCAGAAGAGGUGCUAAAGAUUAAGGGGAUCGAAUUUGAUAAAGGAGAAACUGUGGUGUUCGAUGUGUUUGUGAACGAAGACAAUACGAGUCCGUGUAAUCCGUGCAAGGCUGAGUCUCUAGGAAGCUCCCGCACCUUGGCGCAUGGACAUGGCAAGAAAUCUACCACUUCCCGCAGUUGUGCGAUUUCAGAGGCGUUGGAGGAAUUGGGAGCUGAUGAUUUUGACAGCAUUUUGGUCACUUUGGUCCCCAGAAGAGGUGUCGUGACCAUAGGUGGUGUCGAGAUUCCCUUUGUUCCUAAAUCUUAAAUGCAUUAAUAGCAUUGCAAAUACUACGUGCACAAUGUUGUGUGUUUGUGUAAUAUUGUAAUCAAUCGUAAGUACUACAAACUUUGAGAAGAUAUUUUACUAAAUAAUUUCGACAACCAUAACUGGAGUCCUCGUAAACUUACCUUUACAAAUGACUUUCAAUCGGGCUUCUAAAUUCAUCAUUCCUAACUCUCUCUCUCUCUCUUCCGCAUUUUGUGGGAAUGGCAACAGUAGUAUCACAUUAAAGACAGAAAGGGCCGACUUUGAAAACGAGGGCCUUUCUUUCUUUUCCUGGUUCGGGGCCGACUCACUUCGUUCGCGCCGACGAAAAAGAUUUCAGACAUUACCUGCCACCAAGGAAAUAGUAAUAGACUGCCAUCAAAUCUUCUUUUUUUUUUUUUUUGGUUGCCUACCACGGUAUUCGGGGCUUUGCCCUGAUUAAUCCGUUGGUCGAUUCGGUUCAUAUACCUGACUGUGAUGGGCGAAUCUCCCAACAAGGAUGACUGCAUACACAAGGUUUCGAAACCGAAACCUGUUUAAGCAGAACAAAACUGUUUAUCACUUGGCGCAACCCCGAUUGGUUGCCAUCAAAUCUUCUUCUAUUGUUCUUUAGUGCGACUGCAAUAGAAUGAUACCGUAUGGGUUGCGGUCUCAGUAGUCGCUGACAUUGAUAAGAAAAACAAUUGAACUCAAGAAGCAAGCAUGAUAUCAUAAAAUGUGAAUGCAAAAGGCAACAUUAAUUCGCCAUUUUUGUGUUCCACUUUUGCAACUCGAAUGUGAAUGCAAAGCUACGUAUUCCAGUCCAGAUUUACCAUGAACACACAUCAUUGGAAAUGAAAAUUUCAGUUUAUAAGAAAAAGAUAUUUGGUAGGCCAAAAACUUGUUCAAUAAUUGAAACAAACAAGGGGAGCUUAGGAAAUUUCCGGGCCAGAUAUGGGUACAGCACUUUCUUCUCGUCCCUUUGCAUAACAAUUCAAGCUUAGCAAUGAAUUUCUAGUCCCUAUCUUGAUCAAGGAGUCUGUUUGUAAGGUGUGUUUUUUCUGGUGUUUGUAUAAACUUUUACAGUAAUUUAUUGUGAAAGUUGAACAAAUUUUUUUGUAUAAAUAAGAUUUGAAAAAACUGAAAAAUUUUCAUGAUUUUUGCCUUUUGUUCUCCAUUCUUUUUUUCCCCCUUUCCUUCCUCUUUCUUCUUCCUCUCCACUCCUAUUUUGAUCUUCCUCCUCCCUCUCCAUUAUCGCCACCGCUGGUCGCCACCUCUCUCUCUCUCUCUCCCCCCCUCUUCAUCCUUGCCCCAUCCAUAUUGAUUAUAAAGUAUAAAUUCGUUAUUUCAUUUUAAAAUGUGGUGUGGCAGUCAAAUUACUACAAUGGGACCAUCAGCGGCCAUAACUAUCUCUCGUUAAAAUGUAAUUCAAAUAUUAAUAUUUUAAAAUAUAAAAUUAAAUAAGAGAAAUUUAUAAAUGCCAUUAAAUCAAAAAAAUAUCACUAAAGUAUGCAUAAAUUGCCAUUUUUUAAUGUCAUUAGAAAAGAAUUUUCUUCUAGUGUACAAUUAGUAGUGAAAUAAAGAAUCUUAGGGAAAUUAUUUGAAUUGUUUUCAUUUUCUUCACAGAGUUACUGUCCCAAAAUUACUAAAAAUUUUGGAUUGUGAUCUUUUGGACAUAUAUUUUUACAUUUUUUUCCACACAAUUUCCAAUCUCUUUUUUUUUUUUAAUCUUACAUACGUCACAUCCUUUAAAAAAAAUACUAUAAUAAUUUUUUUUCCAAAAAUUCUCCAAAAAAUGCAAUCUAAAUGGGGUCUAAUUAUUUCAAUGAAUCAUACAAUUUCAGGGUACAUCCAGACAAUAUCAAAUUGUGGGAUGAAUUUUACAAUCAUUAUUGAAAUGACACUAAUGGUCACUUUACUUGUGGUCCUUGAAUCUUAACCCAAUUAUGCAAAAUCUUGUGGUCCUUGAAUCUUAACCCAGUUAUUCAAAAUCACGUGUUUAACGCUGUUCUUCUAUUUAGCAAGAAGAAAAAUAAAAACGUCAGUGACACGGGGUCGCCAAUUGCUUCAGUAUAAGAACAGGAGCUUCCCUUAGCUUCUUCGCUACAACAUCCCCCUAAAGAAAACUAGCCAAUGGCAUCUCUUUCAACUCCCCUUCAAAGCUCCACUGCCUACUCCUCCACCUCCACUCUGUCCUCCUGCCCUUUCUCAACCAAGCCAUCACAGUUUUACCUCAGUGCCAAACGUAACUAUCGUCAGUUCACGGUUUCAUGCAAAAACAAUGAAAGCCAUGAACAAGUUGACAAUCUUGAUAGGAGGGAUGUGCUUUUGGGCUUGGGUGGCCUUUAUGGCGCCUCAAACCUCAUCAUCAACCCUUUUGCCAUGGCAGCUCCUAUAGCCGCCCCAGAAAUCUCCAAAUGCGGUCCACCGGCGGACUUACCUCCAGGAGCAGUUGUCACUGACAAUUGCUGUCCGCCGGUGCCCGGCAAAGUCAUUGACUACAAACUCCCUCCACCACCUAAGGUGAACCGUUUUAGGCCAGCUGCUCAUUUGGUCAAGAAAGACUAUAUUGAAAAACUUAACAAGGCGGUCGAGCUCAUGAAAGCUCUGCCAGCUGAUGAUCCCCGUAAUUUUACCCAACAAGCAAAUGUUCAUUGCGCUUAUUGCAAUGGUGCCUACGUCCAACCAGGCUCUGAUCAAGAAAUUUCAGUCCAUUACUCGUGGUUAUUCUUCCCUUUUCAUAGAUGGUAUUUGUACUUCUAUGAAAGAAUCUUGGGAAAGCUAAUAGGCGAUCCCAGUUUUGGACUGCCCUUUUGGAACUGGGACAACAUUGGUGGCAUGACCAUACCGUCCAUAUUUAUGGACCAAUCGUCAGCAUUGUAUAACGAAAAUCGUAACCAAAGUCAUCUGCCACCAACGGUCGUGGACUUGGGGUAUAAUGGUACGGAUAGAGAUGCAACAUGCACAGAAAGGAUAGAAAACAAUUUGGCGAUCAUGUACCGUCAAAUGGUCUCUAAUGCCACCACUGGCAGAGAUUUCUUUGGAAAGGAAUACCGGGCCGGCGAUGAGCCCAAUGCCUUUGCUGGCGCAGGGUCCAUCGAGGCCAGUCCCCAUAUUCCACUCCACAGGUGGGUCGGCGAUCCAAGGCAGCCAAAUGGUGAAGAUUUGGGUAAUUUCUACUCAGCUGGAAGAGAUGUUCUGUUCUAUAGCCAUCAUGCAAAUGUGGACCGGAUGUGGACAAUUUGGCAACAAUUGGGAGGUAAAAGGAAGGAGGUCCCCGAUCCAGAUUGGCUGAAUUCUUCCUUCAUUUUCUACGAUGAAAAUGCUCAGCCUGUCCGCGUGAAAGUUCGUGAUUCUUUUAGUAAUGAUAGAAUGGGAUAUAUUUACGAAAAGGUGGAUAUUCCCUGGCUUAAGAAUAAGCCUGUGCCCCGCGUGAGAAAAUCUAGAGUGGCUUUCACUUCCGGGGCACCACCAGCCGAUAAGGUCUUCCCUGGACCCCUUAACAAGAUCGUGAAAGUGUUGGUCAAGAGGCCCAAAUUAUCAAGAAGCAAGAGGCAAAAGGAGGAAGAGGAAGAGAGAUUGGUGGUGUACGGGAUCGAGUUUUCCAUGGACAAGUAUGUUAAGUUUGAUGUUUUCAUUAAUGAUGAAGAUGAUAAUCCAAACGAUUUUGCUAAGUCCGAGUACGUUGGGAGCUUUGCAAAUUUGCCACACAAGGUUAAAAGUGGCAUGAAAGCUAAGACUACUCAAACCUUUGAGUUGACUGAGAUUUUGGAGGACUUGGAUGUCGAAGACGAC
Molecule: long non-coding RNA, 45092 nt
Filed under: Coffea arabica (coffee)
Lineage: Eukaryota; Viridiplantae; Streptophyta; Magnoliopsida; Gentianales; Rubiaceae
Description: long non-coding RNA (CARA_LNC003901)
Source: RNAcentral